CUUUGUGACCCCCCCUCACCCCCCAGUGCCGGCCCCUCCCUCUCAAGGCAAAGAGAUCACAGAGGAGGGGUUGGGGUCCUGGGGCCAGCUCACAGGUGCCCAUGGUCCAGCAUGAUCACUGCCUCUUUUCUUUGUAAAUUUCUAUUCCUUUGUGGAACACCGCAGGUUCAGAAAUGUGCGUUGAGGUUCUUUUCUCAUCUUCAACUCUGUAAAACAAUACAGUCGAAGCCGCCACAGUUUAACAUCAAAUACUUCCUACAUGGGAUUAUGGCUGGGUUAUUAGGUUUCUGGUUUUUCAAAAGCUGUUACUCCAUUUCUGAGAGAAGAGCUCAGGAAGCUAAGCCCUGUGUAACCUGGGAAGGCCAGUACUUUUCCUUUCCUCGCUAAUUUCAGCAGGUGCACUCCGAAAUUCCCAUGUGCAAUUGUAACGCACACCACACAGAGAGAUUUCAGCUUGGCCUGGAUUCAGAAUUAAAAGACAAAAAUGUUAUUUAAUUCGGGUAGCUAAUUUUGGAUUUUUUCCCUCAACAUAAUAAUAGCUUGUCUCACUUUAUCACUGCAUUAGUCAGCCUGGGCCGUCAUAACAAUACCGCAGACGUGGUGGCUUAGGCAACCGAAGUGGAUUUUUCUCGCUGUCGUGGAGGCUGGAGGGCUGAGGUGGGGGGCCAGCGCGCUCAGGGUUUGGUGAGCCCUCUCCUGGCUUGCACUGGCUUCAUUUUCCCUGUGUGCUCAGCGUGUGUGGAGGGAGGGAGCGAGCUCUCAGGUGUGUCUUCUGAGGACAAGAGUCCUGGCUGGGGCAGGCCCUGGCCCUUAUGACCUUAUUUAACCUUAUGACUUCCUUAGAGACCCCACCGGCCGUGCUGGGGUUAGAGCCCCAGCCUGUGAAUUUGGGGGGAACGCAGAUGUUCAAUCCGUAUUUAUUCUGUAUUUUUUGUUAAUCUCUGUGCUUUAUUUUAAGGAUAGUAAACUAGCCUCUGUUCACUAACGUGGAGCGCUAGCUUAAGCAUUUAAGUAUCCCACCUGUGUGGCAUCUGUCACUUCCUCUCCCAAGGACCCUGUGAAGUAGGUACCAUGGCCAGCCCCGUUCUGCUGCAAUGGCAGCUGAGGUCCAGUGUGGCCCAGGUCACCCGGCCAGGAAGUGUUGGUGCCGUGUCUCCAAGGCUGUGCUGCUGCUCCGCCCACGGUGGGGGUGACAGCAUUGCCCGCGGAGGCCCCAGAGCCCCGCCACACCUCGCUUCGGCCCUAGCACAGCUGUGAAGGAAGCGUUUUAUCCACAGGAAGCUCCAGCUCUUUGUCUUCCUCUCCAGGGACUUUGGUGUGCCGGACACCAUGACCCCACACUGACGUUCUGGUGUUCACUUCAAGUCAGUGCCUGCACACUGAAGCCAGGCAGGCCUGGGUGUGAAUCCUGGCUCAUUCCCUCCCUCCCUCCCUCCCUUCCCUCCUUCUUUCCUUCCUUCCAUUCUCCCCUCCUCCCUUCCUUCUUUCUUCUCAGCAAAUAUUUAUCAGGUGCCAGCUACGUUCUGAGCACCGUUCUGGUUGCAAGACCAGCACAGGACCCCCAGCAAAUAAGUCAGCCUCCCCAAGCCCCAGCCUCCCGAGUUGCUCCAGGAGCAAUGAUGCCCACUGCGUAAUCGUUGUGGGGGGAGUGGUGUAGAGAGGGCAGCCAGGGAGGUCCUGGUGAAUGACAGACGCCAAGCCGGCAAGGAAGACACACAAUUAAAAUUCUGGGUAUUGCAUGCAUUGUAUAGAUAGAACUGAGGAGCCUAACAGAUCAAUAGUUAGCCGUAUGUCCUCGGGCAAGCCAGUGCGCCUGCCCGGAUCUGUUAGUACUUCAUCUGCAAACGAGCAGGUUGUGUUGGAUAAUCCCCGGGCGUUAUUUUUGGCUCCCCACGUGUGUGGCCAGAGGGCCACGUGUGUCGCCUGCUCCCCUGCGCCUUCAGGUGCCAUCAGACUUUUCCGAGUCGGAGUUUGCUCCAAAAGGGAAUUUCUGCAGUGCAAUCCUGGUUCCCUUCCACCCUACUCCGUGGCCUUCCAGCCACACCACAGCCCUGCUUGGGUCUGCAGUGGCCCCUCUGCUGGCUGGUGCCCAGAGAGGAGGUACAUUUCAGUCACCUUAGCCUUGGAUCUGUAAUUUUUAAAAAAUUUUGUCUAUUUAUUUUCAUUUUACUUGAAAGGCAGAGAGACAGACUGAGAUCUUCCAUCCACUGCUUCACUCCCCAAACUCCUGCAGCAGCUGGGGCUGGGCCAGGCCAAGGCCAGGAGCCAGGGACUCCAUCCAGGUUUCCCACAUGGAAGGCAGGGGCCCAAGUGCUCGAGCCACCGUCUGCUGUCUUCCCGGGGUGCACGUUAGCAGGAAGCGGAGGCAGGCCUCGAACCUCACUGCUCCGAUGCCACCGUCGGCGUCCUAACCACUGCACCCAACACCCACCCCGGGGUACUUAACUGGUCUCAGGGAUUUACGUGCGCCAGCUCUGAGCUGACCCCUACAUCAGAGCGACUGAUGCUGUCCGUUCCCAGUCACAGGUUUGCCAGAGAGAGCCUGGCCAUGCCAGAACGCUUGAAUGACCUGUCUUUUAAAAAGUCUGUCGAUUGUUGGAAACGUUCCCGAAUCUUAUCCAGCCCUUGCUUACCGAUAGGGUGGCGGCAGGUCCCGGCGUGUGCUGCUGGUUUGUGCUGUCAUUUCAGCGACAUUGUUGGCAGGACCCCACCCCAUCCCACCCCACUCCCUCACCCUGCUCUUAGGUCUGGGUGAUAAUCAGUAACCAUGAAAUUAAUCACGCGUACCCAGCUUACGUACGGAGCACUUAACCCCCAUGCCAGACUUUUUCUCGUCACCUCCCUCAUCCCCUCUUAGGCCUGGUAAGAUAAACACUGCAGGUGGGGGAGACUUAGCACCCUGGCAUCCCAUGAUUCCUGGGUUCCUGCUCUGGGAUUCUCAACGUCCCACAGCAGGAAGGGCCUAGGACUCUGCCAUUCCUGUCCCCCAGGAGGAAUUGGGCUCAGGGCCUAUGGGAUGUUCUCAGGCAGCGUCGAUAGAUAGCAGCGGAUGGGGAACCUGAACGCAGGUCUCUGCUGCAGGCUGGUUUUUUCUCGUGUUGCUGAAUUCCAUGUCAGAUCAUGCCCUUCCCCCCUCCCAUCCCACCCACGAGGACUCAGAGCAGGCGCAGGACUGGGGAGACCUUUGUCGACAAAGCCAGCCAGGACAAGAAAGGCCGGGAGCAGUCCAGCUACCCUUAGGGGCUCCCUGCCCUGAGCAGGUCUGAUGCCGUGCAGACACCAGCGGUCACCACCAGGGGGAGGUCACUUCCUGUCUGCGGAGUGGUUGCUGCCUCUUGCCUGGGACCUCACUCCAGGCAUCAGAGACUGAAAGAGGGUUUUCAGAAGGGAGAAGUCGCACCUCUUGCUUCCAAGAAACUGCCACAAAGAUGCGUUUAUCGUUGACACUUGGGAGUGGAGAGAGACCUCCCAGCUCCUGGUGGGAAACCAUGCAAGUGCCCUCUUGGGACAGAGUGGGAAGUCCCCAGGUCUGCAAGAGGGGACCCUUGGACAAGUGGCCCUGCUGCCCCAGCUAUGCCUCACCCCCAUUUCCUUGGCAUUGACUCAGAUUAGCAACAUCAAGGACUCCAAAGAGAGAACCCAGUCCCCCGAAACAGAGAUGGUAGGGAUUUUCCCCGUGGGCCCCAGAUCCUAGGUCUCAGGACCUGUGUGGUAGGAAUUGUUCUCCCACGUGAGAGUCCCCGCCCCGGGUAGGUUCCCAUGGACUGGCAGUGCUCUGCUGGAGCCGCAAUCUACGAGUUCCACUUGUGUAUCCUCGCCUGCGGGUCUGGGCCAGCAGUCAGGACUCCCCCUGCAGCGCCGACGCACAGGCUGCUUGCCGCAGGAUUCCCCGGGGUCACAGUUCACCAGCCCUUUGCUGGUGUUUGCAAAGGGCAUUGCGGUCAUUCGUGUCAGGGUCUCUCUUUCAGGGUGGCCAAAUCCAAGCUGUUGCUUUCAGAGGAGGCAUCGGUGCUGGAUGUAGGGGGCAUGUGUUGGGGGUGACUCCCUGCGUUUGGAGGAGGAGCCGGCUGUGCAGACCCCAGCUCAGAGCACCCCGUGCCCCCCUGGUGGCUUGGAAUGAAGCAGAUGCACCUGCCAACUCCAGAGCUGUGCCUGCCGUUCUCUGUACAAGUCAGGAGUCUGCGAUCGAAAUGCUGGGGACCAGAAGUCCUUCAGAUGUCAGAGUUCUUUGGAUUUGGGGGAAUUGGCGCACACUGUACCAGUUAGGCACCCCUCAUCCACAAAGCUGAAAUGAGAAAUGCUCCAGACUCAUGGCCGUGCUCAACGAGUGUCAGAUUUCAGAUGUUCAGGUCAGGGGUGUGCAGCUUGGGUGCCUCUCCCUCCCCGGGACCCUGUCAGAGUUGCACGUGGCCUGGCUGUGUCGGCAACAGUGUCUGAAGACAGGGACGACUCAGAAAAUGAUCCGUCUUCCUCAGGGAUCUCAUUUCUGUGUCGGUGGUUGGAGGUUUUAUACUGGGUCGCCGUUUACCUUCUGUUCAUUGUUUGUCUCCUCUACUUGAGAGCACAGGGGGUCACACUGGCGGGACCACCGCUCCCAGGGCUCCUGGUCGCUUGGUACUGCUCCUGCUGGUUUCCACGGCCCCCUGAGAGAGGACGUGUGUGUAAGAAAGUCCAUGGAAGCAUAAAAGGAGAAGAUAAGCUUGCUUUUGUGCAAGGACAGUGUUGGAAGACCAUGCACAGUUUUGUCGUGGAUUUGCAUUUGCUGUGAAUUUUUUGACGACCCUCGUGUACACACAGCUGUGCUUGCCGACGCUUCCUCACAGACAGCGCCGCCUUCCUUAAGGAGAUGCCACCCAGGCGUUAGGAGCAGCCGCACAAGUCGUGUCAGCCUGGAUUCAAACGCCAGCUCUGCCAGCCAGGGGCUGCGGGAUCCUAACUUCCCUGCGCUUCGGUCUCCUGGUUAGGGAAGUGGGAUAAUAAAUGUAUCUGUCUCGUGGUGGCGUUGUAAGGGUGAAAGGGCUUGGGAGGAGUUAGGGAUUUAUUAAAAUUGUCAUUAAGAUACAAAGAUUGGCCGGCGCCGUGGCUCACUAGGCUAAUCCUCCACCUUGCGAUGCCGGCACACCGGGUUCUAGUCCCGGUCGGGGCACCGGAUUCUGUCCUGGUUGCCCCUCUUCCAGGCCAGCUCUCUGCUGUGGCCAGGGAGUGCAGUGGAGGAUGGCCCAAGUCCUUGGGCCCUGCACCCCAUGGGAGACCAGGAGAAGUACCUGGCUCCUGCCAUCGGAUCAGCGCGGUGCGCCGGCCGCAGCGCACCAGCCGCGGUGGCCAUUGGAGGGUGAACCAACGGCAAAGGAAGACCUUUCUCUCUGUCUCUCUCUCUCACUGUCCACUCUGCCUGUCAAAAAAAAAAAAAAUACAAAGAUUACCAUGUCCGUGGUGUGCUGCUUGUUUCCCCCUGUGCAGGGUCUGCCCCUAUAGUAGACACUUAGUAAACACUUGUGGUACAGAGGAAAUAAAGCACCACCUAAAAAAAUGAAAAUAUUGCCCUUUCACGCCCUUUAAUAGUAAGCAUUAUUUCCAGGAGUAACUUAGGCACGUACAGAAAUUGCAUAAAUGGGGGGUGGGGGACCAGUGUUGCGAUACAAUGGGUUAAACCACUGUCUGGGAUUUGGGCAUUCUAUAUGGACUCUGGUUCAUGCCCUGGCUGCUCCACUUCCAAUCCAGCUCCCUGCUAAGGCACCUGGGAAGGCAGUGGAAGAUGGCUGAAGUCCUUGGUCCCCAGCAUCCACAUGGGAGACCUGGAUGGAAUUCCAGGCUCCUGGCUUUGGCCUGGCCCAGCCCUGGCCAUUGUAGCCAUUUAAGGAGUGAACCAGCAGAGCAGAUGGAAUCUCUCUCUCUCUCUCUCUCUCUCUCUCCCUCCCUCCCUCCCUCCCCCCCCCAUCUCACUCUCUCUAACUCUCGCUUUCAAAUACAUAAAUAAGUCUUUUAAAAAAAAAAGGAAAACUUGUAUAAAUAGUUUUACACCAGUCGGGCCUGCAGCUUUAAAAUGAUCACAGCGUGUGUGUGUGUGUGUGUGUGUGUGUAUAAAAUGAGCAGCCUGGGGCGAUGCUGAUAAUUUGAAUGCGGCAGUGGGAUGCAUCGCACCAGCAGGCUAGCGUGGAUCUCCACCCCUGGGGACUGUGUAGCAGAAGCCGUAAUGCCACCGCAGGAUGGUUGGACUUUGUCAGAAGGAUGCUUUGCCACAAAGUUGAGAAUUUGCUAACCUAAACACUCUUUGAAAAAAAUAAAUCUCAGGACAACAUAAUGAAUAUGAAAACUCCCAUAGGCCAUGAGGCAUCAACUCACUCCUGAUGAUGACAAGAAAUCCUAGGCCUACGUCCUCGCUUAAUUAAAACGCUAAGUUGCGAUUCGGAAGGAAGGAAGCAAGCGGUCACGUUUGGCGGCAAAGCUUCUCCCCCUUCCCUUUUUCUUCCCAGGUUCUUAGAGAGUCUUCAGGGAACAGAGCUGUUCCGAAUCACAUCACCGCCUGCUGCUCUCCCCCUGGGCCCCCGCCGGCCUCCCAUCCUUUGCCAGAUCUCCUCCUUAGCAGGCAAAAUCAGCCUUCUCAUCUCAGACGCUGCCCUGUUUUCCACGAGAUGGGGCCCUGGGAAGCCGACCUUCCUUCAUCAAAUGCCUGCUGUCUGCUUAGGAUGCGCUACCCUGCUGUGCUUUUAAUUAAAUGAACCAAUCUUUGAAAACCCCAUUCUUAGCCCUGCAGCAGCUGUCACCCGGAGCCUGGCCCCCAGUACUGGGAGGUGACGUUACAGGAAGGUAUCGGUGUUGGGGAGGGGAAGGGAAGCUUUUGCAUCCUGUGACCAAGGUCCUGGGGGCCAGUUCUCCGUGCCUUCUGUUCAGGCUCAUCCCUACCCACCCUUCCAGCCCUGGAGCACGGCUGUCACAGGCUGACUUCAGCAAGAGGUCCCCUCUGCACCCUGUGAGGCUAGUCCACACGCCCGGAGAAACGCCUGCAGAGCUGGUCUGCUGAGCACUGGCUCCGACGAUCCCGCUUGUCCCCGCGUCGAUGGGUGAUUCGAAGGGUAAUCAACGAUGAGAGUGACUGAGUUUUCCACCAAGUCGCUUUGUCCUGGGGUGCAGGGGUUUACCUGAGAUAAGUCCCCUGGCUGUUGGUCAGGGUCCCACGCCCACCUCGCUGGGGAUGGGACUGGAAGCCCCCCACACUCUGGGCUUGGGUGCCUGGGUGCCAGCACCCUCAGGGAGUAGCAGCCGUGUGCCCUUUUGGUCUCAGUGACUCUUUUCAGUCCUUUUUCUAGAAGAUUCCCGGUCUCCGGUCUCCAUGCAAGGCAGCAGGAGCUUACUCCUGUCACUGUGACCAGUCUGAGCCAUCCGGGAACCCGGCUGCUGGAGUCGGGGGUCAGAGGAGAGCAAAGAUGGGAGAGCUUUCUGGAAGUCUCUCUGCAGGGUCUCACCCUCACGAAGAAGUCACAGCCCUGCUCUCCGGUCACUUUGGGGGUCUCCCUACUUCAGCCUGCUCUCUCUUCACCAGGGGUUUCCCGCGUCAUUCACCCGGAACCACCCGGGACUGUGGGGUCCCCUCCAGCCAGUGGUUCGGAGGAAGCAGGAGAGAAGGACUCUAAGAAACCAUGGCGUUUUCCGGCAGGGAGGCCUGCACUCAUGUCAGAGCACAGAGGUUGAGAGCGCAGGUCACCUGGGCUUCGUCCCAGCUCUGGUGCUCAGUUUGUCCACCUGUAAGAUGGGGCUAGCAAGGUUGCCUGAGCCGUAGGUGGGGCCUGCUUGGAGAGGGCUUGGCCACCUGAGGGGUGACCUCCAGGCUGGGUCCCCCACCCCUAAGCGAUAGUCCUUGACCCAGGUGUGUCUGGGGAGCCUUGCUCACGUGUGUGCAUGGAGUGAGGGCAUUGGGAGCUCCCAGAGUCCCCGCAUUCCUGAGUCCUCGCAUUCGUGGCAGGGACCACGCGUGUGUCCCGGCUCUGCAGAGCGGUGGCUGGUCUCUGUGCCACAUCAGGUACCAAGAUCCUCCUGCAGCCCAUCUCGCCCUGGGGCUCCUGAAGCUGUCCAGGCAGUGAGUAGGCGAGGGCUGGGGAGCAAGGCCGCUCGCUCACUCCCGCAGCCAGCCAAGGCUGCCGGCGCGUCUGCCUGUCUGCCGACGGACAAGUGGCUCCUUGGGUGGGAUGGGGACCCCACAUUUUCCCUGCCCCGGCACCCACUUCCGUGGCAGCUGAGCCAGCAGCCAGCACCGACAGCGCCUGGGCCACAGGAUCCGCGUGCUGGGGCUUGUGAUAAUGGAUGGCUGUGUACAUCGUGGAGGCCGUGGUUCGCUGAGAAGUCUCGCCCAGCCCAUCAGAACCCAGGUGGGCAGGAUUGUAAUCUUUCUGCAGGUGUUGCCCAUCCCCACCGCCACACCCCUUUAUUUUCACAGUCACGGAGAAGCCUUGAAGCAGCGGCUUAGGGCUGAAACAAGGCCAUCUGUCUUCGCUCUCUGAUGAUGCUUGCUUCCUGCCUCCCAGCCCAGCCCAGAAGCCAAAUGGCCACACGGAAGUUCUCCAGCCACUGACUGAGUGCCUGUUCUGUGCCAGUCACUACAGCAAGUGGCUUCCGGCCGGGAAUGUGCUUAAAAACUCUGAAAACGCUCACAUGGUUACGCUCAACAGGACAGUGAGACCAAGUUCGUGCCUGCCCCACUCCUCCAGCCCCAGAGUGGGAAAAGAAAAAGGUGAAAACCAGCAGGUUUUUUUCUCCCACAUGAUCUGGAAUUCUUAGUCUCCCUCGGCUUUGAACACUCACGCAUCAGGCAGGGACUGAUUCUGGCUCAGUUUGCCAUGUGCGUAUUUACUGAGCCUGUUUCCUCCUCUGUGGGGCCAGGUCCUUUCUCCGCAGCCCCCAACCCCACCUGUGAAGGCUCUGGGUCCUUGGCCUCCUAGCUGCCUCCCCCUCCAUCCAGAGCAGGCCCAGUUGUGCAGUUCAGACUGCCCUGGGCUCUCCUCUGGCCUGCACGGGGGCACAGCUCUGGGUAUUUUGUUGGUCACGGCAGAGAGCAGGGAUGGCAGCCUUUCUUGGCAGCUUGCUGUGGUCCAGGCUGGCACCUCUGCCAGUGGCACAGCCCUAGCUUGUUCCUAAAGACUCAAGAAGACAAGAGUGUGUUGUAAUCCUGAGGAAGUAGUUGUGCCUGCUGCCCCGACAGUCCCUAGCACUGUGUGGCCGUGUGGCAGUCAGGUGAGGAAUGCGAUGCUGCAACCUGAAAUGGCCAGCGGUCGAGCUUCAGGCCUGUCUGCUAGGCCUGUCCCUGAUCUCACCGGAGAUCAUCUCAGAAGGGGCAUCUUGGUUACGAGGCUGGACCGAGACGCCGUCACUGUAGAGUGGGCGUCGCGUCUCACAGCCGCCUGGGUGCAGGGAGGCUGAGCUCGUUUCGGAGUGAAGGGGACGGGCCUUGGCCUCGGCCAUGACCACCGUGCCCUCGGGUCCUCUACGUUCUAGAGCCUCCGUGAGUGCCGGGAACCUGCCCCAGCCUCUGCCCGCUUGUCCCCAGAGGCCCCUGGAAGCACCAGCACGGCCAUCCUUUACCCUGGCCCCUCAGCGCUCCAGCUGAGUCCAGCCGUUGAUGUUUUCCUGCCAUUGUGGAUUGAGAAAGGACACAGACGCUCUGUAGGAAAACCUGGUCAGGGACAAGACAGCCUUGGCCAAGAGACAGAAAACAUCACCAGGAGCAGAUGACUGAGCCCUGCUCACUUCUGUAGGUGAGGGCUUGGGAGUGAUUAUGGACUGGAGCCCUGGUGUGGCUAACAGUAGGCACCUGGGUGGCCCCAGGGAGCUGGCUUGCAUGAAGAAGCCUCAGGAGUCUUUAUGCCGGUGUGACGGCACGGAUUGUCCCAUCGUGGUGUUGUCCUCCUCACACGGGGAGGAUGGGACGCGCACCCUGAACCCAGUCACCGCCUGACCAGCAUCUCUAUGCAGAGUAGCGGCAGCCCAGAACCAAGCCUUGCAUUUUGUCAGACUUUUUUUUUAACCCUGUCCAUCAGAGGACAGUGUCCAAAGUACAUGGGCAUGUGGUUGGACAGCAUCUCCAGGAGCUAACGAUGGGAGCAGGGGCACCAGCGGAAGCAUGGUCCUGGCUCCCAGCAGCCCAUGUGCCCGCAGGGCUAGCCUGCGCCUCCACAGCCUCUCUCCAGAAUGGAAGUUCAGACCUUUGGGUGAAUUUGGGGGGUUUUCCCAGAUUUUUCUGGGUCACUCAUACUUGUCUUUCACCUAUUUCAGGAGUGGGAUGCCUUUUUUUCUGCCAAGGGCUAUUUGGAUAUUUAUCACACCAUUAGCAGGGUGUAUGAAAUUCUCAACUUAAAAAUUAGCCAGCUGUAGAUUUGUGAAAUUUUGAGUCCCUCCUGAAGUUGCCUUGGCAGGACCAGACUGGGUGAUUUGCCCUGAUCUAUCUAAACAUGGCAGAGGAAGGGGGGAAAAAGACAGAGCUGAAGGUCUGGGGGAGUGCGAGGAGGGGCUUCCCGUCCUCUUACACCUGCUGGCGCUGUUCUCUCCGCCUCGCCUCGUGAGAGCGCACCUGACACCUUAGACUGCAGACACGUGAGAUGUGCGGACGCUGGGGAUUGGUUGGCACCAUCUCGGUGGUACUGCUUACUUCCUGAACUCCAGGCGCAUUGCGAUUUGCCGUGCAGCCACUUUCCGCUGUAGUCGGGCCAGGAAGGGAGGAUGAGUUGAAUUAGAUGGCGUAUAGGUUCUGUGGACCUGCACACAAUUGUGGGCAUUGGCUGUUAGCACAACAGUUGUAGUCUCCGCUGUGUGACAUCUCCAAGCCCUUUAUCUAGGUAGAGGGAUUAGUUGAGCUGGAAUGCAGUGCAAUUCAGGUUAAAGGCUUAAGCUCCCCUGGUCUUAAGACAGCUGUGCUUCUUGAAGCUCAGCAGUAGGGCCCCUCACUUCAUCCUGCCCCUCCCAGGGAUGUCCUAUUGUGUUGCUCCUCGAAUACACCCAGGUCCCGCCUCCUGCCUCCUAGGGAGCAGACCACCUCCCUCUGGUCUUGGCCCAAGUGUGACCCUUGCAGGGGGACCGGCCCCGGCCGUUGUACCUCAGCUGGAACCCCCUCCCCCACACUUAGGCUCUGUGCUGCUCACUCCAUGGCACACCGCGUGUUUUCUGUGUUGUUUGCUGCCCGUCUCUUCCUACCAGGAUAUGAGUAGCUGGAGGCCAGCGUGUUUCAUUUUGUACAUCCUGGCUCCUAAAAGUACUCCUGGUAUACAGUAAGUGCAUAAAUACAUCUUUGGCGGAGGCUGUGCUGUGUCCAGAAGCGAGGGCUGGAUCCGGGCUCUGUCUCGGUCCCGUGCUCCUCGUAAGGAAAGUGGCCUCUCUGUGCCCCUGCAGCCUUCUUCCUCUGAGACCACAGGCAUUGCUGUGUCUUUAUUCAGGCAACGAGCCCUGGCCGUGACCUCCCAUUCAAGACAUGGACGAUUACUGUGCCCAAGAAGCUUCCAGAGCAUCCAAAUCUAGUCCUCUGCUCACUCCAGUAUUCACCUGUCGUUGGUGUAGAUAGACUUUGUGCUUCAACAGUGACAUAGUUUUCCGUCCCCGCGAGAUUCCAAGCUUCUCAGGCACAGCUGGCUGUCCUUAUCCAUGGGUUCCGUGUUGAGAAUUCAACCAACUGCAGUUCGAAAACACAGCAUAAAAUGUUGCAUCCGCACUGAGCACGUGUAGAACCUUUUUCUUGUUAUCCCUGAACGGCACAGUGUAACUGCACAGCAUAGGUGCUGCAUUAGGUAUUGUAAGUAAUCUGGAGAUGACUUACUGUGCAUGGGAGAAUGCGUGUGAGCUCUGUGCAAACACCACGCUGUUGCAUAUAAGGGACUUGAACAUCCAUGGAUCUUGGUUUCCACAGGGGGUCUUGAAACCCACCCCUUGUGGGUACUGAGGGACAACUCUGGAAUCCUGUCUUUUAUUUGUUUUUUGUUAGAGGCUCUUCCAUCAUUGGUUUGCUUCCUAAAUACACACAAAAGCAGGGGCUGGCCCAGAAUAAAACCAGGAGCCCAGAACUCCAUCCAGGUCUCCCACGUGGGUAGCAGGGACCCAACUACUUGAGCCAUCACCUGCUGCCUCCCAGGGUGUGUGUUAGCAGGAAGCUGGCCUGAAAGCAGAGCGGGGCCUCCAGCCCAGGCACUCCGACAUGGGAUGUGAGUGUGUGAGGGUCCCAAGUGGGGUCUUAACUGAUGCACCAAGUGCUUCUUGUCUUAAAGUCAUGCUUGAUAAGAGAAUAGCUGUGCCAGCUCUCUUCUGAGUAGACUUGUGGGGCCCGCACCAGUACCGCUUGUUCCACUUACUCUCUAUUCCCUUUUGUUUCCUUUUCUGUCUCUUUUUGAAUCAAUUGUGUGUUUUUAAGAAUUAUUACCCCCGUCCACUAACUUGUCCGUCAGAUAUCCCUUUACCCUUUCUUUAGUGGUCAUUAUAGUAAUUUUUUUUUGACAGGCAGAGUGGACAGUGAGAGAGAGAGACAGAGAGAAAGGUCUUCCUUUGCCGUUGGUUCACCCUCCAAUGGCCGCCGCGGCCGGCACGCUACGGCCGGCGCACCGCGCUGAUCCGAUGGCAGGAGCCAGGAGCCAGGUGCUUCUCCUGGUCUCCCAUGGGGUGCAGGGCCCAAGCACCUGGGCCAUCCUCCACUGCACUCCCUGGCCACAGCAGAGAGCUGGCCUGGAAGAGGGACAACCGGGACAGAAUCCGGCGCCCCGACCGGGACUAGAACCCGGUGUGCCGGCGCCGCUAGGCGGAGGAUUAGCCUAGUGAGCCGCGGCGCCGGCCUGGUCAUUAUAGUAAUUAUAAUACAUGUCCUUGACUUAGUAAGACCUAAUAUGAAUGCAAAGUGGGAAUGGUGUCCCGGUAGGUGCUGCUUCUGUAGCCUAUACAUUUCCUUCUUUUAUGUUUUUCUGUAGGGUCCCUGAGGCACCUUAGAGCUGUUGAUGUUCUAAAUAGUCACCACAGUGAGUUAAAAGGGUGCAGCUAAACUCUGGUAAUUCUUGGAAAUUAUUCGACUUUUUAUAAUUCUGUUAUUAAUCUCCCUAGAAAAAGAGAACAUUUGUUUUAGAAAGGAUAGUCUAUGGAGUAUUUUCAUCAUGAAGGCACAGUUGGGGUACAGCACCAAAGCACUGUCCUUGCAGCACACAGAAGGGUGCAACCACAAGGGGACCCGACACCCCGCUUGGCCCCCGUGCACCUGUGGCUCCCUGCGACCCGGGAUGGGGGUGCGUAUCACUGUGUGAUCCACGUGCCUCCCGGGCUGGGAGCCAGCCUGAGGGAGGAGCACACAGACUGUCACCAGGCGAGGGGCACCUGCACUGCGGGGGUUUGCAGAGCCCCGCCCGCCCGCUCUCUUUAGUUUGUCAGCACCCGGCCUGGUGUGAGAACGCGCUUGUAAUCUUGUCGUGUUUACCUCCCCUGGACUGCGGUCGUCUGCAUCCUCUGUCAUUUUCCUGCUGGCCGGCCCUAAUUAACGCCACCUCACCUGGCAAUUUGGCGAGGGCCUCAGUAGAUGUGUAUAUCAGCCGGCUUGUAGUCCAUGGCGGAGUGUCAUUUUCCCCUGCAGUCAGCCAUGGUGGGGAAGAGAAAACCUCGUGUACGGAGGAUGUAUUUAAGGAGGCAUUCACAAGAACAGUCAUUACCAAGUUUGAUUUUUACAUGGUACUUUUUUUUUUAGCCAUGAUAACAUCUGUCUUCUUAGCUUAGGUGGAGACAUUCAGAAAGAGACACGCUCUGCUCUUGGAAGGCGUGUUUUUCCUGCUCUCUGCUCUUGGAAGGCGUGUUUUUCCUGGUAGCUCAUUCCAGAGGAGGCAGUUUGGGUAUUCCCAGCAUCACUGAGUUCCUGAUUUCCCUCUGCAUUCAUGAUCUUCUGAGGACCAGGUCAGGGCUUUGAUGGGGGUGACUUGAAAGAGGGCGUGAGAUUUUUCUGCCCUUAGAACAUGGGAGGGAAAUGUUAAGAUCACCCAGUGGCUGCAGGAAGACAACCAGAAGGCUGGGGGUCCUGGAGGUGUCCACACCUGGUCUCCGGUCCACACUGUCCUCUGGAGUCCAGUAGGGUGCAGCAGCAAGAGGGCCAAAGAGAGGUGAGGGCAGGCAUCCUGGCAGUGAUGGAGAAGGCCCUUGAGUCUACGGCCAUACCACCCAGCGUGCACCUGCUGUUGCCUAUCACGGAAGUGAAGUGGGGUCGGGCCUGAUAGCACUUGGAUGGGAGAAGCCACUUGAGGGAUGCCUACGUCCUGAACCACAGUCCUUAGGUUCUAGUCCCAGCUCUGCCCUCCAGUCCAGCUUCCUGCUAAUACACACCCUUGGGGGUGGCCGGUGAUGCCUCACGGACCCAGGUCCCUGCCGCCCACACAGCAGACCAGGUAGAGUUCCACGCUCCUGGCAUUGGCCUGCCCCAGCCUGGGCUGCUGCGGGCAUCUGGGGAGUGACCUAGCAAAUGGGAGAUCCAUCUCCCUGUCUGUCUGUCUGCCUUUCAAAUAAAGAAAAGGAAGAAAUUUUUUGAAAAUUAGGAAAGAGCGAGAAGUUGUCCUGAGGUAGUGGGUAAUUGGUAAUAAGUGUGUGUGUGUGUGUGUGUGUGUGUGUGUGAGAGAGAGAGAGAGAGAGAGAGAGAGAGAGAGAGAGAGAGAGAGAUGGGAAGGCAUAGUUUGUCUUUUCAGUGAUAAGCCUCAGGUCUCUGUGACAGCCACUGUGGUCAUGGGGUCUAUGGAAAUUGCGGUUUAUUUUGUCCCCCUGGAGAGAUUAAAGCCAGACACUGCUGGUGGCUGUGUCUGUCUGCUCCCACUGCCGAAACAGAAGACCACAGUCCCCGAGGCUGGAAGGCCAGGGGCAGGGGUCAGCAGGCUUGGUCUCUCCUGAGCCCUUCCCCGUGGCUGGCGGCUGGCGGUUUCUCCCCGUGCCCUCACGGAGUGGUCCCUCCGGGUGUGCACGUGUCCAGUGUCCCUUUGUGGGCCAGCUUUCCUCGGAGCCAGCAGUCAGCUUGGGUCAGUGCCCACCCUACUGACCUCAUUUUCACUUGAUUGCCUCUUUCAAGGCCCUAACGCCAAAUAUAGCCACAUUUGAUGGCUCUGGCAGCCGGGGCUUUGGCAGGUGAAUUCGGAAGGGGCCAAGAGGUCACAAACGCAGUGCACCCUGCAACAGCAUCAGAGGAAUCAGCCCUUGGGAGGCCCAGGGAGGGCGUCUGCAGGAAUCCUGAGGAAGCGCUCUUGUUCCCAAACCAAGAGCAGGUGGCUGUCUCGCUGAUGUUCCCAGGUGGUGCCAGCCACUCUGCAUGCGGCCCCGCCCCCCGCCCCACUCCAGCCCGGCUGUGAAGUCCUGGGCGUGUCUCCACAACAUGUGCCAGGUUUGCCUACUUGUCAGUCUCACUUGUCUCGCCCCGGCCAGCGCCCCUCACCGCCUGGACCCAGCCUUGCAAGUCGCCUGCUGAUUCUCAGGCCCCACGGCUGUCCUGGGGCUCGGACACUGGCAGAGCAGCCGGUGGGCUUUCCGAAACGUAUCCGGGUCUCUGGCUCGGGACUCCCUAGCACGCCGAGUGCAAGCGCAGAUGCCCGCCCAGGCAGUGAAGUUGUCCGAGCUGGGCGGCCUGCCUCUGCAGACCCACCUCCUCCAUUCUGCCUGGGUCGCGGCAGGGACCACCCUGGCCUCUGGCUGUCACUCCAGUGUGCCGAGCGUGGGCGCGUCGCAGGGCCUGGAGACCUGGAAUGUCCUUGCCCCAGACACACAUGGCUUACUCCCUGUGGCCUCCCUGGGGUUCUGUGGUUGGCUCAGAAAGGACACACACAGAGCACUGCCCCUGCAGCCCUGCCCUCUGUCCCCUCAGUGCCUCCGCAGCGCUGACCCUUGCUGACAUCUGAGUACACAGCUGCUUCCCGUCUGCUGGAAUCUUGGCUGGGAGGAGGCAGUCACCUUGCUGACCGCUCACCGCUGAGUCCCCAGCACCAGGAACCGCGCCUGCCCCCUGACCAUGCGCUCAGUGGACGAGUGACUUCCCGUGGCCCAGGCAAGUCCCUGAGGUCUGCGGUGACUUUGCUCACAUGCAUAGACCCCCUCCUCUGGUCCAGAGCAGUCCUGGGGAGGAGUCUGCGUUGCCCCUCACCUUGGACCCGGAAGACACCUUGCCCAGGGUAAAGAGCGGAGAGGCUCCCUGCAAGGGGUGCACAGUCUGGGCUGGAAAGGGGAUGCCCUCUUGGCAUCCUGCUAGCAAGUUCAGAGCUGGGGCUCUCAGGCAGGCUGGCCCCUGCUUUUGCAACCUAAGGGCUUUGCGAGAGUGCAGCUGAGCCGGGAGGCACCCCGUCACCUGCCUCUCGGCCCACCCCAGGCCACCACUCCCCGUACUGAGGCUGCCUGUAAGCCGUAGAGGCUUCUCCUUCUUAGUGAUUUGCUUCCUUGUGUGUGUUGGCCUCGACCUCUCAGAUGGCAGCCGUUUUGCUUUUGCAUUUGACUGCAAUUUAGCAGAGGCAGAAGGAGAGUUGGAGGUAGUACGUUGGAAUUUCCUCCUCUCCCCUCUCCUCCUCCUCCCCCUGUUCCUCCUCCUGCCCUCCCCACGUCUUUCUCUCACUCCUAUUCUUUGAUUUGAGGAAUCCUUCCAAGUACAAGGGAAGACUUUCUAGAUGAAAUGGUCUUGAGGAGUAACAGCCGUUCAUUGUUUGGGACCCUGAUUUGGCCAGGACACUGGGACAGGUGACCCUCCCAGCAGGUCCUGGGUCACCAGCUGCCUCUGGGGCUGUAGCACGUCCCACCUGGAACCCGUGGGAUGGGACUGGCUGAUGGCCAGUCAAGUGAGCCAUAGCGGUACGUUAGCAUGAGCCCCGAUCUCAUUUCUAAAACAAAAACAGCCGUUAGGGAGGUGCACGCGCCCUGGCCUAGAAGGUGGUCUCAGGUGCUCCUUCCCACACAGACUGAGGUGCUCUAGAGCAUCCCUGGUCCCUGUCUGGAAGGUUCUCGAUCUCAUUGCUCAGCGCUUGGGUUCUUUUCUGGCUGUUCUCCCAGCGCCUGUCUAAAGGACACUUUUGAAGUUUUUCCCCAAAACUCUCCUCCUCCUCCCCCUCCCCACUCCCCCUGCUCCCCCUGCUCCCCCUGCUCCCCCUCCUCCCCGCUUCCCAGUCCCUGUUCACAAGCCUCCCCCGCAUGGCUUGCCUCCCUGCGUUUCCUCCUGACUUCCAGCGUGUGCGUAUGCAAGGUGCAUGGAACGUAGCCCCAGUGGUAAGCAGUGUGCAGGUCACCAGGAGUCAGACUCGAAGGACCUGGUGGUUGGCUCCCUGGUGCUGAACAGACACCCUCACCCACAGAGGGAGGUGAAGACUACACACCUCUAAGGGUCACGGUGUGUGGGCACCAAGGCGAGGAGCCGGCCUGGGCACGCUUGUGGAAGUCCCCAGACACAGUUCUCCUAAGAAGCCAGUCCCGGGCUUGUCUUUGCAAGCUGCCGCAGGCUACAGCAGCCUGGAGGCCGCAGGACGUGCUGCAGUCCAGUGAGCCGCCGUGAUAUUUCAGCACGCGCCCCGCUCUCAUUAUUCCUCGGUCAUCCAGCCCGAGCGGGGAGGGAUUCAGAGUUUCCAGCGCCGCCCGCGCCAGCCGGUUUCCGUAUCAGCAGGCCUCAGGAAGGUGGAAGGACACCCUGUCAUUCUUUCCAUCGCUCUGACCCUGCUUGCUGUCAGGCCCGAGUGCCAGCAGGUUUAGCUAAAGGAAGUUGCAACUGCUGACCGGUGGUGUGGACUGCCUCCGCCCCCAGCGCCGGCCGGGGCAGAUAAGAUAGAUAGCUCUUGAUGCUGACAAGCUGGACUCGCCUUAGGUCUGGAAGCAAAACACGUGCUCCUCCCCCGUGCUCCUUUUGGGAACACUUGGUCUGGGAACCCUUUCCCUUCGAGCGUUUGAGUUCAUCUUGGUGCAGGCACGUGGGGGUCCAAUGGUGGUGCAGGUGACGCUCGUCCCCUGUGCCCUGACCCCCCAGUGUCAGCGGGAGCAUACCCCAUGUGAGUUCUCCCAGCAUGCCGUGGUGAUUUCCAUCAGCAGAGCAGAAGAAAAGAGACAAGGGGGAACCCUGCUGCCCUGGUCCCAGUUGCAAACCCCUGGCCCAGAUGGAAUUAGAGGCUGUGGCCCUGGGCCAGCCCUCUUCUAGGUGCGGGGGCGUGGGGUGUCUGUUUCGGUUUUAGCAGACUGAUUCAAGGAGUAGGCGAUGGGUCUAUUUUAGGUCCCCUGACCAAUUUGUCUUGUUCUGUUUUCUUUGAGGCAGGAGAGUUACUGGUCAGCAAGCAUAAACGGUGUCUGCAUGGGUUUUGGGGCACACUCACUGAAUUGGUUGUGGACAUUUGUUAAAGCUUUGCAUUGAGUUGUACGUUGUAAGAGCUGGAAGCAACUUCAGUCAUCAUUCAAGCCAGUGGUUCCCAACUCUGGCUGUUCAUCAGAAUCUUCAUUAAAGGUCCCGUGCACUUGUCCUGCCCCGGGCUCAGGGUCAAACAUCUGCACACUGUACCUUUAGCACUGCAUUUGUGACAAACUCCCCAGGAACCUAAGCAGCCGGCCUGCAAGUCUGGGACCCACUGGAAUCACCGGGUAGAGCCCCUUCCUUUUGUGCCGGCUGGGUUUGUGUGUCUGCUCCUUGGGUUUGGUGUUGUCCAGGGGAGGAACCAGGAGCCCAAAGGCUGAAUGACCUGGCCGGGGUCACCCAGCUGGGGAUCACGCAUCAGUGAGAACCUAAUGGGAUGGUGAGCCUAGGAGGGGACCUAAGGCUAAGGCACUGCACUCAGCGCCACCCAGUGCCGUGCCAGGAGGAGGCCUCAGAGGACUCAUGGGAUUGGGGAGAUUCCUCCCGCAAGCCUUCGGACGACUUCUUUGGGGGCAUCCACAGAAGCCUUCCCUUCUCUCUGGAGCCACCGAGCCCAGAGCGGACAUCUGGCCUUGGCCCAGCAUGAGAACCGGCUGUCUACUCUGAUCUGCUGCCCGUGACCCCUGCCUGCCUGGGGUCCUGCUCGCAGGCGACCAGGUUCAGGGUGGCGUCUCAGCCGCCUAGGGGGUCCAAAUACUUACUUGUGGUCAGACAGCCUUUCUUGGUGUCCUCCUGAGACAAUUCUGAUGUUUCCUCCAUCGCUGCCCUUCCUGAAGGUUCUCAGUCUCAAAUGCUCACCUGAUUCUAGGUCAGCAGGGUGGGGGUUCAGUUUCCAGAUGGCACCUCUCCACGUAGGCCUCUGUAUGCAGGCCUCAUUUGCUUGCCCAAGCUGCACGUGUUUGGUGGGGAGGACAGAGAUGCGAGGGCCAGGGAGCAGAUGAAAUAUCCCAUCUCCCUGCCACGCAUCUUGCUCCUCCACGCUUGGGAAUGACCGCUCCCUGUUGGCGGUCCCUGGACCUCCUUAUCCUUGUCCUGUGGGUUCGCCAACACAUCCUCACCUUUCUGGGGAGCUCCACAUUCGGCUGUCCGUCCUUCUCACGGACCCCCUCCCCCCAACCAGGCCUUCAAGCUGUGAGUCCAGAACCAAGCAGUUGUCUGUGUCCCUGAACGUCCUCUGUGUCCUCUCCCAGUCGCUGAGCACUUCAUGCCAGAAACUGGAGAGACGGCAUGGGCACCUCCUCUCACCCCCUCGUUUCAGCCCAGACGUCUGUGGAAUUUGCAUCUGAAGGUUUCCGAUCUGUUUCCACUUUCCUGCCUCUGUUCCAUCUCCUGUCGCGCCGUCUGACUCUGGCACCCUCCAGGGGCCCCUCUGGGCUGCCACCCGAGUGACCAUUUUAGAAAUCUGGGUAUUCAUCUCACGACCCUGCUUUUCAAGACUCCCCGGCGCAUGUCCAUUGUCAAAGGUCAAACUGCCUACUCUGUACUUAAGGCCUUUCCCGUGGCCCCCGCUGGUGUCUCUGUCCCACCUCCUCAGUACAGGUAUGACGCAAACUCUCAGCUACCUCUCCUUUUGGAACGGCCAGCCGCUAGCCCGGUGGCUUCCCAUGCCGAAUGCUAUUAACGCGUGUGUGAUGAGCGAGUGAGUGAGUUAGCAAGUGGCUUCAGAAACCAAGCCGUACAGCUGACCUGAAGGAGAGAGCCUUGUCCGCCAGGUCCCUCUGGGUCUUCUGCCCGCUCUUUGGGCUGCCUGAGCCCUUCAUGGAUUCCCUGGAAACUCCACCCUGCUGAACCUUGGAAACAUUCACGUCUGUUUACCAAAACGGGCAGGCUUCUUCCCGCCUGUGCCUUGUUCCCAACCCGUUCCUUCCAAAAGACACCGACGUGUCUUGGUUUGGAUUUUAACAAAGUUCUCGUUUGUCCCAAGAGCACACGAGAUGAUCUCAGAUGGAUUUAAAAGGAAAGGAACGCACCACUGAGCCUGAGAGCAGCCUCCAGCAGGUGGGCUUGUGUCCGAGCCGGGAGGUGUCCCAGGGGCCCUUCAUGCCCUGUCGCAGCUUCUCCAGAAGCCAUCAGAGCCGUGACCUUGGAGGGGCCCCAACUCUUAACUCUCCCAGCUCAGGGGGAAGGCGCUGCCCCCAGCGUGGGGUGGUUCAGCUGUGAGCCCGCGGGGCCCCGGCAGGAAGUUGUCGCACGUGCCUGGCAAGGACACCGCAAAACCCUGGCGUGGUGUUGGGAAGCAGAAGGAAGACCUGGAAGGACAGUUAUGGAGUGUUAUCACGGGAGGUACCUGAGCCGCCACCCCAGGGAGCACGCGUGGUCGAGCUCCAGGACCGAAUCCCCGUCUUCCCACGCUCUCCUACCUGUGCUGUUUCCUCUCCGGCCACACAUUCGGGGUGUCUGGAGACUGCCACAGGAGCCUGGCUCCGUGCGGGUUCACUCAGAGCAACUGGCAGUUAAUGAUCCCGUCGGUGUGACGGAAAGAACCCGAAGCGUGGUGUGGCCCCAGCCUGGGUCGGCUGCCCCAGUUCUCUGAGCUUGUUUGCUCAUGGUUAACCUAACGCCCGGCCCGAGGUGUCCUGAGGAGUGCGUGCAAGGCUGCUUGUCACCUGCAGGGUCACCACUUCACCACCGCUGACUCGGCCGAUCCCAGGGAUCAGAUAGAGGAUUUUUCCGUGUGUCUUUCCGAUGAGUGGAAUUGUGCUCAGGAAGUCCCAGUCACCACUCUUUCCAUGGUAAAGGCCUUCAAAAGGCACGUUUAUUCUCCUCGUUCUCCCUCUCCCACUCCCGGGCCUGCAGUCUUGGGCUCUAGGUGUGAAUGUCUUCCGGGUGGGCUCACCUUGAGAGCAAGACCUGCUCGGCCAAAGCAUGUGGCCUGUGGGAGACGCUCUCGAAACGCAGGAGGCCAGAGGGCUGCAAGACGUGAUGGAGGACCGGGGCACGGGGGACACUGCUACCGGCACGGGAGCCAGGGGGAGCAGCUGCAGAUGGGAAGGAGGAGAGGAAGGCGUGGCUGCUCUCCUGUGGUUUGCCCACGGCGUGGCUGCUCUCCUGUGGUUUGCCCACGGCGUGGCCGCUCUCCUGUGGUUUGCCUACGGCGUGGCUGCUCUCCUGUGGAGCUCCACUUUGCCCACUGAGGGGCAGGCCGGGCCUCUCGGGGCUGUAGUAGUCUGGUCGUCAUCACCGUAGUGGCAUACCCGAGACAGGCUACUUUAUCCACAGGAGUUUAUUUGGUGUCGUGGUUCAGGAGGUACAAAGUCUGGGGCCUUAUCUGGUGCCGGCCUCCUCGCAGGCAGAGUCCUGAGGGGCGCAGAGCAACACACGGCAGAGACACGAACACACAUGUGCACAUCCGUGUCUCUCACAUGUGCACGUCCGUGUCUCUCUUGGUUGGUCUCUCUGCUUCUCCCUCUCCCCGCUGCUCUGCUCCCCUCCCCCGCCCUUCUCAUAAAGUCAUGGGGCUCCCACCCAAAGACCUCACCUUUAGACACCAUAGCUAGGUUAGGUUUCCAUCCUGUUCCUGCUUCACAGAGAGGAUUAAACUCCCACCCACAAAGGCUCGGGAGACACUCAACCCCUGUCCAAACCACAGCAGAGACCGCCCGGCGCUCGUGGCAGUGAGGCCCCGGGCAGCUGCGGCAGAGCAAGGCUCGCUGUGGCCACGCUCUCGGAAGCCCCUGGGCCAGCCGUGGGGAGAGGGAGCCUAGGACCUGUUUGAAGGCGCAGUUGAUGUGAGUGGACCGAUGUCAGCAGGCGACCUCGGGGCUGGGCAGCGUGAGCUUCUACCUUGCUUCUCGAUUUCUUCUAGCCUGGCCCGUCCCACCUCUGCCAGCCACACUUUUACCCCCACACGGUUAACACUUCCACCCGUGCUGUAACCACUGUCCUUGUUGUAUUGUAAUUUGACUCUAAAACCCGAAGGUCAGUGAGUAGGGUUGAAAGUCAGUGAGUAGAGUGUACGUUCUCGGAGCCGUCAAAGCAGUCCCCGAGGCUGGGCUGAGCACCAGGUGAGGCUCGGGUUCCUUCUGAGCCGGCCCAGCGCCCGCCCAGCAGGGGCUGCAAGCAGGCAUCUCUGGCAUCAGCCGUGAACAGGUGCUCCUUGCGCAGCUGCUGGAAACCGCGGCGUGCCCUGCUUUACCUCGUAGCGGGAUCUAGCGUUCUCAGCACGUUCACUCAUUUACUUUUUUUUGUUUGUUUGUUUGUUUUUGACAGGCAGAGUGGACAGUGAGAGAGAGAGACAGAGAGAAAGGUCUUCCUUUUGCUGUUGGUUCACCCUCCAAUGGCCGCUGCGGCCGGCGCACUGCGCUGAUCCGAAGGCAGGAGCCAGGUGCUUCUCCUGGUCUCCCAUGGGGUGCAGGGCCCAAGCACUUGGGCCAUCCUCCACUGCACUCCUGGGCCACAGCAGAGAGCUGGCCUGGAAGAGGGGCAACCGGGACAGAAUCCGGCGACCCGACCGGGACUAGAACCCGAUGUGCUGGCGCCGCAAGGCGGAGGAUUAGCCUAGUGAGCCGCGGCGCCGGCCUCACUCAUUUACUUAUUUCGCUUGGAGUCUCUACUGUCUGUCUUUACACAUGCCCUGUGCUUUAUUCCGUGACAUUCCCGUUCGGGACUGCACCGUGGGGUGACGUGGAGGAAUGGGUUCAGACACGGCCUCUGGUGCUGGCAUCCCACAGGGGCACUGGUUCAAAGCGCUUUCUCUCAAGAGAGAGAAUCUCCCAUCCACUGGUUCACUCCCCGUUCGCAGGAAGCAGAGUAGCCAGGACUGAAACCAAGCACUCCCGAUAACGGGAUGUGGGCGUCCCAAGUGGCAGCGUCAGCCACGGAGCCACAGCAUCCACCUCUCGAAGAUACCGAAAGAUGUGUGAGCGCACCCUCACGUGGAACUCGCCAGUGAGCGCCAGAACUUCAUUAGGGAAAACUCUUGUCCAGCCCCCAGCCUGGCUGCUGCAAGGGCAGGUGUCAGUCUGACUCGCGCCCCCGGCCACAUCCGUGGUGUUCUGAGCCGUGCAGUGGCCAUGUCGGGCUGUGGUCUCUGUUCGUGGUGCUCUGCUCUUCCACGUGGAGACUCAUCACCUUAGACAAGACGGGUUUUAUUUAUUUACUUUUGUCCUUUUGGCCGUCCUUAAGUUCGUCCCUUGUGUAUAUUUAUGUUCUUUCUGGGCUUCCUGGAUUGCUAUUCCAUAUCUCUUAUAAUUUCUGCCUUACGUGUUUCUGUGACAUAGGUAGUUUUGACGAUUUGCUGUGAAUUCAGAAAGCAAUGUGUACUGUGACAGCCGUAACAGAAAUUAUAGGUAGGGGUAAUUACACGAUGAAGUAAGGCCUGGGUGCGGCAGGAGGAAGCCGGACUGAGAGAACUGAAGAAGGCUUUGUCUUUGGGGAGGAGGAGGAGCCCUUCUCCUGGGCACAAUAGAGAAGGAGCCGGAAGGAGCCGGAAGGAGUUGGGAUGCAGCACAAAGGGAAGGGAACAUAAGUCACACACAAGCCUUACGAGGUAGAAGGUGAGGUCGCUGACUUAGACGGAAACCUUGGGGUUAGACAAAGACAGGAGACCUCUGUGGAGGGAGCCCGGAGCCGAGAUGACCGCCUGAAGGUUUACAGGGUGUGUCUGAGCUGGGACCAGUGGGCCUGCAUCAGGGGCUGUGGUCAAGCGCAGGCCUGACAUGUGGCCAAGCACGCAUGACUGUUGCCAUCUCGGGUGGCCGAUGCGACAGCCCAGCUCAGCAAUCUUGACUUUAUCCACAGAGAAAAAGAAGACACUGGAACCUUUUGUCCCACUUGAGGGUCCUUGCUGAAAAAUCUGCCCAUGUCAUCAAGCCAGUUUUCUAGACGCACCUUUGGAUCCCUGCUGUAAAACCCAGCCUUGCCCCAGAGUGCGCUCUCGUGUCGCACGCACAGGUUGCAGCUGACGUGUGCUUGGGUCUGGGAGCAGAGUCCGGGCAGGCCCCGGGCAGCCGCCUCCUCAAGUGCAGGAGGUUGGUGCUGAGACACGAGAUCUCUGCAAGCUGUUCGUUUGGAAAAAUGGCUUCAUCUUUGCUUCUUCUUGUUCUGAAUGAAUUAUCUUUCGAAAGUGAAUUCUGUCGCUGACCCCGACACACGGGCAGAGCCGAGUUGGAGCUUCCGCGUGGUGAGGCAGAGGUCAGCCCUGCAGCCCACUUGGCUCCCGUGCCAUCUUCCCUGGCCCCUAGGAUUUCCCCUGAUUUUAUUGUUCACAAAACCGGGCAAGACGGAGGGCAUGGAGGGGCAGAGCUGCAGCCGGCCUCCCAGUUCCCUUCACUGUGAUCUCUCUCCCGGCCAGGAAGUGGCGAGUCCUGGACCCAGCAGGCGUGCGGCUGAACCCAGACCUCUGAUGUCCUGGCUCUUCCCUGCGAUGCACAGAGCCAGCCGAGGGCGUGUUUCAUCUGAGGCCUUUUUCCUUUGGGUUCUUAGAGCAUCUCUCAGCCCUCCAAGAGCUCCCCGCUGGUGUUGUAGUCCCACAGUGCAGCACAUCCUGCAGAUAAAAGUACAGGUGAAUUCUGCAGAUUUUCCAGCCUGCUGUGCUAAAUGCCUUUAAGUGCCCCAGGGCAGCCGGAUACAAUGGGCAGUUUCUACAUCUGUAGAUGCAGCCAACUAUGGGUUGAAUAUUUUAAAGAUUUAUUUAUUUAUUUGAGAGUCAGAGUCACAGAGGAGAGAGAGAGAGAGGGAGAGAGAGAUGUCUUCCAUCUGCUUGUCACUCCCUAAGUGGUCACAACAGCCGGAGCUGAGUCAGACUGAAGCCAGCAGCCAGCAGCCAGCAGCCUCAUCUGAAUCUCCCGUGUGGGUGGCUGGGGCCCAAGCACCUAGGCCAUCUCUGCUGCUUUUCCCAAGCCACCAUCAGGGAGCUGGAUUGGAAGUAGAGCAGCCAAGACACAAACCAGUGCCCUUACCAUUGUUGCAGGCGGCAGCUUUACCCACUAUGCCACAGUGCCAGCCCCAUGGAUUGAAGAUAUUAAAGGGGCUGGCACUGUGAUGUAGCAGGUAAAGCCGCCACCUGCAGUGCCGGCGUCCCAUGUUGGCACCCGUUCAAAUCCUGCCUGCUCCACUUCUGAUCCUGCUUUCUUCUAUGGCCUGGGAAAGCAGUGGAGGAUGACCCAAGUCCUCGGGCUCCUGCACCCUUGUGGGAGACCCAGAAGAAGCUCCUGGCUCCUGGCUUCAGCUUGGCACAGCUGUGGCUGUUGCGGCCAACUGGGGAGUGAACCAGCGGAUGGAAGACCUCUCUCUCUCUCUCUCUCUCUCUCUCUGCCUCUCCUGUCUCUGUGUAACUCUGACUUUCAAGUAAAUAAAUAAAUCUUAAUUUAAAAAAAUUAAUAUUAAAAAAUUUCCCACUGUGUAUAAACUUAUUGUCCUUAUCCCCUAAGCAGUUCAAUAGAACAACUGUUUAUGUGGCAUUUACUUGGCCUUUGUGUUGAUUAGAUAUUAUAAGCAAUGUGGAAAUUCUGUGAAGUUUGGAGGGGGAUACCAGCAGGUUCUGUGCUGUGGAAGGGGCCUGAGCAUCCAUGGAUUUGGGCAUCCUAGGGGGUUCCUGGAACCAGUCCCCUGUGGACAUCCAUGCUUCUGUGGUGAUGAACAGACUGUCUUUGUAACACGAUGAUCGCUCUCUGCCUUUUCUCAGUCACCAAUUAAUCACUUUAGUGAUGAUUAACUCAGGCCCUUGACAGGCAUGUGAGUAAAGUCAGUUUGUUUUUAAUUUGCCAAAUUGGAUGAAUUGUCUUAGUGAUUCAUUUUAAAGUCACUAUCUGCAUUCUCUGUGUAGUUCUAAUUGAAAGAGGAUUGAUCAGCGCAAUUAGGAAAACGUGAUUUCUUUCAUUAAAAGAACAUUUGCGUUUUAAAAUAGCACCUGUUUUUGAGAGAGGGCUGUAACUUAAUUUCUAGGGAAUGUGUGUAAUGGAUUUUUAAGUGUUGAUCCUACCCCCCCCCCCCAGGAUAAUCUAGCAACUGUGUCAGAAAAGCACGGAACGUUCUGGCACUUCGCAUGUGCUGCGCGCAGCCACCAAGCAACUUCCCUCCGAGCCAGAGGUCGUUUUUGCUCGUCUUCGUCAUCACUGACUUUUGUGAGUGUGUUAAAGUUUGCAGCUUGCUUGAGUGUGCGACUGGGGAAAGGAUUCUGUUAAAGAUAUUUCAUACAAAGUCAUCUUUCCGGCACUGGGCAGAGACUGGGUUGCAGCUCUUCUCCUCACACUGUCCUGGAAGCAAGUUCACCAAGUGCAGCAGGAGAAAACUGGAUUUGGGUUCUUGCCGUGUGCUCUUUCUGUUUCACGGUAGUGUUACUGGGCUCACCAUAAACUCGGUGUGCUGUUUUGGUUUCAAGUGUUCAAAGAGAGACUGGCAGCGUGGUGCAUUGGAUGCCUGCAACACCAGCACCCCGUAUAGGAGCUGGUUCACAUCCUGGCUGUUCCACUUCCUAUCCAGCUCCCAGCUAGUGUGCCUGGGAAAGCAGCAGAAGAUGAUGCAAGCGCUUGGGCCCCUGCCACCCACGUGGGAGACCUGGAUGGAGUUCCAGUCUCCUGGCAUCAGCCUAGCCCAGCAUGGCUGCUGUGGCAUUUGGGGAGUGGACCAGCUGAUGAAGGUUUCUCUUCUCUCUCUCUCUUCUCUCUUCUCUCUCUCUCUCUCUUAACUCUGCCUUUCAAAUAAAUAACUAAUUAUUUUUAAAAAUUAUUCAAAACAAAAUGCACCAUCUUGAAAAGACAGAGAUGUCUCAUCAGGAUGUAUGCUGGUGGUGAAGGCGACGUCACAGGUCCCCUCCAGCUUGGAGCAGAUGCACAGCGCACUCUGUUUUAAUGGCGUCUGCUCAUGGAAGACAUCAGUGCUUUACAGUCCUAACUCACACUGCCUGGAUCUUGUCGCUUACAUCUGGUUCUUAGGAUGCUUUCUUCAUGCAGACUUUGUGCAUCGUGGGUCCUUAAAGUUAUGGAUGCAGAAGCCAGUCACGUGGUCCUCUGGAGUACUGUUGUGCAAAACAAGCUUUCUUUUUUGUUGUUUCUUCUUAGUUGUUAAUUCUCUCUUAUUUUCUCCAGGUCGCAUUUUACUUAUAACAAGUAUUUUAAACUCUGCACUUUUAGGAAGAGAAGGGUCUUUUAUUACUGUCUAACGUCUUGUAGAUUGACUGGUUUUAAAAUUUCUACAGGCAACCCACAGACUUGAAAGCUCGCCCAGCAGGCACGGGCAUAGGCCCCCUGCUUCCCAACUUCUGUCCCUUGACAUUCAUCUGGGGUGGGCAAUGCUACAGGCUUGUCGGAGAGGUAGCAGAACAUGCUCCCCCCAACCAUCAUCUUCAUCACCCCGACUCCUCCAGCCUCCCUGCCUCCACCAACCCUCAUCUGAGACCCUCAGAGUGGGUCUUGCACUGAGUCUCCUGUUCUUGGCAUUCAAGGCCUGGCUCCAGAAGGGAAUUCACUGAUGACCCCGGGCGAGAUCCCUAACCUCCUCAAGAUGAUUUGUUCAUCUGUGGAACAGAAAUGUCGCUGACCCCGUAACCAAGAUGAGAAAAUCAAGGAGACAACAUCUGUGGGUCCUUAAAGAAAUAAAAAAAAAGUUCAUGGAGAGAUGGAAUUACAGCCGGUGCCGCAGCUCACUAGGCUAAUCCUGCGCCUUGUGGCGCCGGCACACCAGGUUCUAGUCCCGGUCGGGGCGCCGGAUUCUGUCCCGGUUGCCCCUCUUCCAGGCCAGCUCUCUGCUGUAGCCAGGGAGUGCAGUGGAGGAUGGCCCAAGUGCUUGGGCCCUGCACCCCAUGGGAGACCAGGAGAAGCACCUGGCUCCUGCCAUUGGAUAGGCGCCGUGGGCUGGCCGCAGCAGCCAUUGGAGGGUGAACCAACGGCAAUGGAAGACCUUUCUCUCUGUCUCUCUCUCACUGUCCACUCUGCCUGUCAAAAAAAAAAAAAAAAAAGGAAUUAAAAAGAUAAGUUUAUUUUAGUCCAAAAAAAAAAAAAAACUUUAGAAUCCACACAUAGGUUUGUCAUGGUGUACAUUUACCAUUAACAUUUUGAAGGCCCCCUUGUAUGUGUGGAUUUCGAGAUGUUUUGCACCAAAAUGUACUUAUCUUCUUUAUUCCGUGGGUUGGCACCUAGCACAGCUGCUGGCCCCCCGAGUGAGCAGCUUUCCCCGGCUCUCCUUGCCCCACCCCCACACCCCCACCCUAGAAGCUCCGUCCAAGGGGUUUUCCCCGCUGAGACUCCAAGCAGGGCUCGGGGCCAGGACCCGGCUUCCCAAGGUUCUUUCCCCUGGGGUCUAAUCUAGGCUACAGUAAUGGGAAGAGUCCACAGGAUAAAGGUGACGUUGGUUUGUCAGUGUUUGUGUGAUAGUAUUUUUAAAUAACUAAAAGGAAAUAGGCUGUUUGUUUGAGGCCUGGUCUCUGGAUUUAUGAUCCCAGCCGGUGUCAAGAUGCUUGUCUUCAGAGUCCGUUCACUGUGGACGUCAGGAAAGGGGUGCUCAGGGCGUCGCCGCCGCCUCUCGCCAGCAGACCCGGCUCUCCAGACUCCAGCUCACCACUUCACUUCACUGCCAAGUCGGCAAAUUGAGGGCCCCAAGUCCAUUGCAAAGAUAAAGCGCAUCUGAGUUCAAGCUCUAAGAGCUCAUCUAAUUAUGAAGCAAAGACCGGAUGGACUUGGGGGUGUGGGGGAGGGAUUGCACAGAGUGCCUGUGGUUCACCUUUGUGCCAUGAACACAGAAAAGUGUGGACCCCAAGGGCUGAAUUCUGAUUGUGGGGCUGCUAGGCGUGAGCCCAGGCAGCAGCAGACUCCUGAGCUGCCAACGCAGUGCACGUGUGCAACUUACGGGAUGCGGUGCGCUGCAGCUCAGGGCCUGUGCGGGAGACUCGUGCAUUGCCUCCCAGGUCUGCCAACAGCCGCGAUUCUCGGAGAUGAGCCUGCUCUGUGCAUUCAUCCGUCACGUGGGAUUUGGGCCUGAGUAUAUGAGAGACAGGAAACCAGCUCUGUCACUCGGAUUACCUCCACAUGGGAGAUGUGGAAUACAUAAAUGGCAAAGCGAGACAGGUGCAGCCGAGUUGCAGCACCCAGCCAGCGUGUCCUGGAGCAGCAGCUCCGUCUUGGGGGGAAGGAUGGGGUUGGAGGCCCCAGCAGCUGCUCUCUGAGGGCCCUCAGCCCGAGCCCAGCAGGCCCGUAGUGUCUUCCACCUGUGCUUUCCAACCACCCACCAGGAAGACCUGUGUUCUGUUUCGGUUCCGCUCAUGCCAGCCUAUAAACAUACUGUAGUAAAAAAGAACUGCUGCGGCACAGUGGGUUAAAGCCCUGGCCUACAAUGCAGGCCAUCUCACAUUGGUGUUGGUUCGAGUCCCAGCUGCUCCACCUCCAAUCCAGCUCCCUGCUAAUAAUGCACCUGGGAAAACAGCAGAGGAUGGACAAGUGCUUGGGCCCCUGCACCCACAGGGGAGACCCAGAAGAAGCUCUGGCUCCUGGCUUCUGGCUCCUGGCUUCAGAUUGGCUCAACUCUGGCUAUCGAGGCCAUUUGGGGGAGUGAACCAGUGGAUGGAAGAUCUCUUUCUCUGUCUCUCUGUAACUCUCUUUCAAAUAAAAAAAAAUAAAUCUUAAAAAAUCAUGAACUUUUCGAAAGAAACAGAACAAAAAGACAUGCCACAAAAGUCCAUAAAUCCCAACAGACACUUCCUGAUGGAGUGCUGUGAGAGCUUCUGGAAGCUUCCUGUAGCUUCUGUUCUUGCCUCGUGGCAGACUGCCCCCCCCCCCCCGCCACGUCCACAGACCACACUUAAGGCAGUUAUCCUAAAUAACAGAGGUUAAGCUUGGGAUUUUUUUUUUUUAAAUGUAUUUAUUAGAAAGGCAGGGUGAUAAACAGAGUGAGAUCAUGGUGUUCCACCCACUGGUUCACUCCCCCAUCACCAGCUGGUACUGGGCCAGGCUGAAGCCAGGAGCCAGGAAUUCCACUCUGGUCUCUCACAUCCUGGUGGCAGGGGCCCAAGUACUGAACCAUCAUCCCCUGCCUCCCAGGUGCAUUGGCAGGGAACUGGAUCAGAAGAGGAGGAAGUGGGACCUGAACCAGGCACUCUGAUACAGGAGGUGGGCAUCCCAAACAGUAGGCCAACACGCUGUGCUACAACACCCACCCCUCGGGGGUUUAAAAUAUAGGUAUGUGUGUGUCUUAUUAGGAGGCUUCUUUCCAUAAAAAAUCAAGCAUUAUACUCGGUUUGCAUUAUCCCGAAUUUCCUUUAAAUCUCUUCCGCUGCCCAAGCCCUCCUUUUUCAUGGCUGAAGCUCUGAACUGUGAUGGCAUUCUGCUUUUAUGCCAAAUGUGGCCCUGCACGCCUCUCCUCCUCACCUCUCUGCCUCCCUGGCUGUCUGUCCCAGCCUCCACCCUGGUCCCCUUUCAGGUCGAGCUCUGCGAGCGCCUAGGGUGGUCUUCCAAGUCACAGCCUCACCUCGUUCCUCCCAGAGGCGUCACAGGACAGUGUUCGCUUGCCUCUUGGGCCUCAUUUCAUAUCCAUUCCCUGCCCUGUGAUUCUCCCUGCCUCACUCCAUUCUGGAAGGUUCCAGAAGCCUUUUUAUGCCUCCCCACCAUUGACUCCAUUCUGUUUAGAAGGUUCUAGAAGGCUUUUCACACUUCCCUGCCAUUAGUGAGCGCCGUGCAGUUCUAGAAGGUUCUGGAAACUUUUUUGUGCCUCCCUGCUAUUGGUGAGCUCCAUUCAGUUUAGAAGGUUCAUGCUUGCCUACCAUUGGUGAGCUCUCGAAGGUUUUGGGAGCCUUUUCAGGCUUGAUAAAACAAGCUCUCAAGGCUCCCUAGCUGUUCUUGUGGAAAACAGGGUCCCCAUUUUGCUUCGUUUUCCCAGACAUUUUUCUGUCAUAAGCAGCAUUCUUUAUAUAUCUUUAUACAAUUUAUCUUUUUAAGUGUAGGAAUUAAUUUAUCCACAGGCACUUUGUACCCUUUAUAAAUAUUGUUGCAUAUUGCCAAAUGGUUUUCCAGAAAAGCUGAGCCAUUUUUCAGUAUUAAUGUCAGUAAAUCUUGAAUUUUAACUCAAAAAUACUCCAUCUGUAUUGGCCCCAAAUGAAGUUGUACACUAAGAGGGCACAGUGUGUUCUUCUGUUUCUAAAAGCUGAUAUAAGUGAAGUGGCCUUCUGCUCACCUUAGUCCUUCCAAGGCAAGGCAGGGGAUGACGGGAUGUAGGGUACAGGGGUUCCUCGCCGUCCAUGGGGGACCCCUCCCGGCAAGAAUACCAAAAUCUAAGGAUGUUCAAGUCCCACACGGAGCAUGGCGUAGUAUUCGUGUCUGACCUACACACGUCCUCCCACACACACUUCCCAUCCCCUCUAGAUGGCUUGUAGUACUUGGCAGAACACAAGUGCUGUGUGGAUGAUUGGUAUGCUGCAUUCUUGGGGAAUUGCGACCAUUAAAAAUUGGGUCUGCACAAACUCGGUACAGACAAAUUUCUUCUCUCCCAAAGAUUUUUGAUCUUUGGUUGACUCUAUAGACGUGGAACCCACAGAUACGGUGGGCCGACUCUCCUUUGAAUUUCCAGCAUAUAAGAAUGAAACUUUUGACUACAGAGUACAUCAGUCCUCCCUGGAGCUUGGUUGCUGUUUAGCCACAGUGUGAUCCGGCGAGAAGCAGAGCCAGCCGAUUGUUGCUACGUCUGCCUAGUGGAAUGCACAGAGCACGCAGUCAGAUCUUCUCGCGGUGUUUGCCCUGCAUGGCCGUGCCCCACUGCAGUGACUGCAGCCCAUUUCAGAAAGUGCAGUUGAGUGUGGCUCUAGUGCCCUGGAGUGAUGCGACCUGGGGUUUCCCGGUAGACUGAAUUAGAAGGGGUAGGCUCUGCAAGCCUUGAAGGAGCCCAGUCCCUGAAUGUCGUGCACCAUUGGAAAAUAAGGUGGGCAGAAGCCUGCUGGGCAAGUGGACCCACAUUGACAGAGCUUCUUUGGGUUAAAAUUCAGGUUCUGUCGGCACUGACAAGUGUGUAUGGAUUCAUGUUUUUGGCUUCCCAUGUUUUCAUUUCAGAUUACUAAGGUAACUCAUUUUUGUGUAAAAUAAUCCAGAAAGGGGUCAUCACUUUCCAGAAAGUGCUAGUUCUUGCAUUCUGCUUUCCAGUUUUCACAGCAGUCAUAUGAAACUAGCCACACUGGGUUUAGCUCUUGGAGGAGGCUGCAGCUAGCUCAGAUGGGUUUUGUUUAUGGAGAGAGUAUUAGAGUAGUAUUUAACAUAAACAGGACAUGCAGGCAGAUCAAUGUUUCUGGCAUCAAAAAUAGUCCAAGUGUGGCUUUGCAAGCAUACUUUGGGGAUCAUUUUUCUUUGUACUAAAAAUAAAAGUUUUAAAGUAACUACUUACCAAAAAAAAUAAUAUGUUUCCUUGCACUGGAGAAAGCUACAUAGAUGGGGGACUUGUAUCCUCUGUUUCCAGGGCUCGUGAUUUCAACACAGCCUUUGUAGACAGUAGAGUCAGCGCAGCUAUACUGGGCAUUGCCCUUUCUGGUUUCUUUAUUUCACCACUAAUUCUCCGUUAGCUUUCCCCCAGGCUCCCACUGUACUUCCUAGACAGAUGCAUUGUCCUUCUGAUGUCUUUGUGAAAUCGGGUCUAUAUUUCCGAUUUUUAGCACAGCAUUUUCUUUUGUUGUCACUUCAACCAAUUCUGGUACGUCCUAAAUUAUUAUAUUAAGUACUGAAAUUAUUAAGGAAUUGCAAAACAGUUUCCAUUAUAAAGCCCUGUUUUCAUCAUUUCAAAGUUUCCAGCAAUCUUCCUUUUGUAAAGAUGUUUUCCAGGAAACGGAUGCCCGACAGAAGUCAACAGCCUUGAGAUGGAUAUCAGUAUGGGCAUGCAUUGUUGGCUUCUGGUGUUUUUUUUUUUCCCCCUUGACUUUUAUUCUCUAUUACCUCUUGGUUCUAAGUGUGAAAGACAGAGAAAUGACAAAGGAAUCUGUGCCUUUCUGUUCUUAUGGAAGACUAGGUUGGUACCUGCUGUGAUGUGGACAUAGUUUGUCCCCUCUAAAACUCAAGUCGAAAUUCAAUGUCCAGCAUAACAGUGUUGAAGGUGAAGUGGGAUUAAUGCCUGAUGAGGCUGAGUUAAUUCUCACUGGGUUAGUUAGCAGGAGAGCCGCCUGCUAGGAAGCCAGACCGCCCCUCUUGGGUGCUUGGUCUCUUCCGCACGCCCCUGCUUGCCCUUCUGCUUAGCAGCGUGAGGCCCUCGCCAGACUCAUGCCCUUGGACUUCGGCUCGUGGAGCUGUCUCUCCCUUGUACGUUACUCAGCCUCGGGAAUUUUGUUAUUGCAACACCAAGCACACUCAGAUGGUGUCCUUUGGUGCACAAUUCGCAGGAGGAGCUUUAGCCUGAGCUCCCGCACAGAAGCGCCCAGGCACUCCCCGCGUGGGCUCUCCCGAUGGAAGCGGGCGCCCACACGCGGCUGUGAACAGUAACACCUUCAGGGCCGUGACUCGUGCAAACUCCAUUAGUUUUCCGCAGAUUCUGGGCCUGGGCUGGAGUGCUCAGAACUGCCUGCCAUCUGACUUCGUGGGUUAAAAGAUAAACUGAGGUGGGGAAACACGUUUUUGACAGUCAGAGCGCGAGCCCUGUCUGUGCUCACCGGUGUGCUGAGUCAUGCUUAGUAGCUCGUGGCCAUAUGAUUGCUUGCCGGCACACCUGAACUGUGCCUUUCCCAGAACUAGCUUACGCAUGUCCUAGGAGGAAUGUUUGAGUAAGAGUCAGAGGCCGUGAAUGUGAGCAUUGGUGUACGGCCCUGACCUUGGGAAAGUAACCUGAACUCUCCGAGGGCAGCGGCAGGAAGGCCUUCACCGUGUCUUCUGAGGGUUUAGAGAAGCUCCAGUGAGUGCGUCUAUGCGAAACGACCUUGAAAACUGCAGAGUGUAGGUUGACGGCAACUUAGAGUCAUGAUCGGCCAGGGCCUGCGGGGCGAGCUGGAAAAUGUGAGCUACGUUCAAAAGAAUGUCACGGACCCAGUUCAGGGUAUUUCGGCUGACUUAAUCCACUGGAACACGGGGCAUUUCAGAGUGCGGCGCUGAAAGCACUAGGCUUAUCAGACCAUUACCCGGAGGACAUUUGUGUGCCCGACAAAGGAGUUCUGUGGCUUCCUCCUUGCCCAGGAAAGUUAGAGAGGUGCCGUGGUGGCCACCUGCGUGGCAGGACUCACUGCGGAGCCGUCUCUUCGUCACCCUUGUCAGGACUCACUCUGGAGCAUGAAGCUGGGCCCAGGACAAACCGGCUUUCACGCGGGUGCGUCUUACAGGAAAGUCCUGUGCUGUGAAUCAAACGCAGAUUGUUUUUAGACUUCCUGACACCGCUUCAUCUGUCAGGCAAGGGUUUUUUUUUUCCCCUUAAUCCUGGCCUUGUUCCGAAUUUUCCAACUAUUCCUGGAAUAAGUGGCCUGCAUUCAUCCCUCUGCAUUCUCACACUUUCCAGUGACCCUAAUGGGAAUUUCAUGCAGCUAGAAUAACAGAACUUUAUGAUUUUUUAUUAUGAUUGCUUGGGAGCGUAUUUUUAGUAUUCAGGUGAAGCAUUUUUAUAGUGCUGCGUUAGCAUAGAUAUUAAUACACAUGGGUAUUUGUAGCUCUGCCUUGCUUUCCCACACAUUGUUCAGUUACAUAAGCUGAAUUAUGUUGUACAUGAUUAUAUUCCUUCUGGUCACAUCUUUUUGUAUUUCCUGAGUUCAGAGCACUAGAGCCCAAGGAGCCUUCGUCACUGAUUUUGAAGCAAGGCAAGACUGACAUCCAGGGAGGCGUCUGUUCCGCCCAGUGCAGCACAAUUCCUAUGGCAAAGCCCCGGCCUGGACUAGGACUUCAGACCCCAAGGCCAUUGUCCUCGAGAAGAUGCUCUGGUUUCUCGGGAAAUCCAAAUGUCUACUCCUCAGUACACUUAGGAAACACGUGCAGUAAUUUAGAAUAGCCAGGUUUUCUGCAGAGCUGGAGAGUGUACCGCCUUUCAGCCGUCAGAAAUGAAUAGUUAACUAUUCGGGAUUGGGUCUAAAAUGGACAGUCCAACCCUGCUUUCUUGAGUACGGGUAAAAAUUGUAGGCCAGCACUGUAGGGCAGUGGGUUAAGCAGCCUCUUGCAAUGCCAGCAUCCCAUAUUGGAACACUGGUUCAAGUCCUGGCCGCUCCACUUCCGAACUAGCUCCCUGGUAAUGUGCCUGGGAAAGGAUUGGGAAAGUGGUUGGGUCCCUGACACCUCCAUUGGAUGGAGUUUCUGGCUUGUGGCUUCAGCCUGGCCCAUAGCCAACUGUUGGAGCCAUCUGGGGAGUGAACCAGCGGAUGGAAGACCUCUCUUUCUCUCUCUCUCUCUCUGUCUCUCUCUCUCUCUCUCUCUCUGUCUCCUCCUCUCCCUCUCUGUUGCUCAGCCCUUCAUAUGAAUAAAUAGUUUCUUUUUAAAAAAUGUGAAAGUUUUGCUCUUGAUAAUUCUUAGUAAUGCUUUUAUUGACCAUCUCCUGAGUCACCCACCUCCAUCGCUGUGCUUUGUGACAGGUGGGGGCGGUGGUGGGGGGUGGGGCUGGAGGAUAUGACUGAGCCUGAGCCUGAGGCUCGUUUUCCCAGAGCAGGUUGCUGGCUGGCGGAUCUUUCCACCCUUGGUUUCCUUGUGCGUGCUUCUCUGUGAGCUAGCCAGCCAGGUAGUGCAUGUGGGCCGCUGCCCAGGUAACACCUGCCUGGUCUGCAAAGGGUCAGUCUGAAGAGAAGCCAGGUGUCUUGUCCAUUGCAGGGGCACUGACAGCACUGCACCGUCUCCACCCGGGACACGUGGGACCACAGGCACCGCCUCGGCAGCUUGAACUUGUCAACAUGGUUGUCACGGGGUGGAUGGAUCAUUCUUCACUAUUUUAAGAAUCUGUGUUAGACUGGCUACGGUUUCAUCGUCACUCUGCCUCAGAUUCUGAUUCCGAGUCAAACAUCCGAGAGAACAAAGCUCAAAGCGUGUUAGCCUUUGUUCCUCCACCGUGAGAAAGAAUCAGAGCCCGCCUGCUGCAGAGACCUGAGGACUCCAACAGGGAAGGCAGGCGGGGCGCUCACCCCGGACCGGUGGGUCUGAGCCGUCAGUCACUCUGUGAUCGCUGCCGCAGCCCCCAUCCUCACCCCGAGCAACGUCAUCGUGCGUGAGAGGUGGACAGCACCUUUCCACGCUUCAAGCCCAUGGAGUGUGCUUUUGUGGUGCCUAUCUUUUGUUUGUUUGUUUGUUUGAACAGGCAGAGUGGACAGUGAGUGAGAGAGAGAGAGAGAGAGAGAGAGAGACAGAAAAAGGUCUUCCUUUGCCGUUGGUUCACCCUCCAAUGGCCGCCGCGGCCUGCGCGUUGCGGCCGGUGCACUGCGCUGAUCCGAUGGCAGGAGCCAGGUGCUUCUCCUGGUCUCCCAUGGGGUGCAGGGCCCAAGCACUUGGGCCAUCCUCCACUAUACUCCCGGGCCACAGCAGAGAGCUGGCCUGGAAGAGGGGCAACCGGGACAGACUCCGGCGCCCCGACCGGGACUAGAACCCGGUGUGCCGGCGCUGCUAGGCGGAGGAUUAGCCUAUUGAGCCGCAGCGCCGGCUGUGGUGCCUAUCUUUAAAAAGCAUCUCAAAAUUUUAAAAAGCUGCCACCUGACCCUUGCCAACACCCUGCCAUGCCGCCUGCUUCCUCGCCUUUUUGGCCACAGUGCCUGGUGACAGCCAGCGCCGCCUGCUGGGGUUGUGUAGCCCUGGGUUGGACGCCUUCCCCUCAGUCCUCCCUCAACUCAAGCAAUAACGUCUUCUGCACCGGUGUUCCGUCCGGGCUGCCACCUGCGCACCUCACUGGACCCUCGUGGGCAUUGCCAGUGAGUGUUUCUGCAGUGCGCAGCUGGAGGGAGCCAUCCCAGCGCGCCGUGUCUCGGUGACAUCUCUGGUGCAGUGGAUGCCUUGACCCGUGGCUCUGCGUGUGUGCCCGGCUCUGGAGGCACCAGCAGCAUGUCCAGUAUUUGUGUCAGCCCUGCAGGGGCGCUGUUCUCGCGGCCCCUGGACCUGCCAGGCAGCGUGACAGAUGUGACACAGCUGAGCUCGGUGUGCUCCUGUGGCAUCGUGAGCAGCAGCAGUUGUCCUCACCUGAAACGUGCGGGAGCUGUUUCUCUACUCAAAUCCUCCUCGUGUUGAAAACUGCUCUAAAUGUUUUCCCUACUAACUGUAGGACAAGGGAUAUACAACUAAGUACUUUGUUGUGUUUUUUUUUUUUUUUGAAGAUUUACUUAUUUAUUUGAAAGCCAAAGUUAACACACAGAGAGGAGAGGCAGAGAGAGAGAGAGAGAGCAAGGUCUUCCAUCUGCUGGUUCACUCCCCAGUUGGCUGCAACAGCUGGAGCUGUGCCCAUCCAAGGCCAGGAGCCAGGAGCUUCUUCCAGGUCUCCCACACAGGUGCAGGGACCCAAGGACUUGGGCCAUCUUCUACUGCUUUCCCAGGCCAAGGCAGAGAGCUGGAUCGGAAGUGGAGCAGCCAGGACUCAAAAUGUGCCCAUAUGGGAUGCUGGCAUUGCAAGCGGCUGCAUUACCUGCUACGCCACAGCACCGGCCCCACAAAUAAAUACUUUCACUACUGACUGUUGCCGUGAUUGCAAAACUACACUAUUUCCAAGCAAGUUCUGAUGCACGCUUGUUAGUGUCAAGAGUAUGAGAUUGUUCAUCAGACACCUCAUUCUCUUGAAAAUUGUGAAAAAUCAAAGCACAUGGUUUCGACUUAUGUGAAUUACAUAUUUUGUUACGAAAACCAUGUUUAUUUAGAGUUACUAUGGAAAAUGCCUUCACUUUUUUUUUGCCUUUUAAUUUUAAAGCAUUUUUAUUAUGGAGAUUUUUAAACAGGUACAGAGACAGACAGUAUAUUUGGCUGAGUCCCAUAUACUCAACUCCGCACCCAGACUCAACAGCUGUCAGUGCAUGGACCCCCACCCAUGCUCACACAUAGGGUGAUUUCACACACCUCAGCCAUCACAUCAUUUCAUUUGUCUGCCCCUCAAGGAGAUAAGGACUCUCUUCUUAACAAAAAUAAAAUCUUGGGCUGGGCAUUUGGCACAGUGAUUAACUCACUACUCAGGAGACCCACAUCCUGUGUCAGAUAUGCUUGGUUCAAGUCCCAGCACCAGUAGAGCUUCCAAUCCAACUUCUGGCUUAUGCACACUCUGGGAAGCAGCAGGUUAUGGCUCAAGUACUUGGGUUCCCGCCACCCAUGUGGGGGACCCAUUUCGAGUUCAGAUCACCUGGCUUUGGCCUGGGGCAGCCGUGCAUAUUUUAGACAUUUGAGAAGUGAACCAGUGGGUGGAAUAGUUUCUCUCUCUCUCUCUCUUUCUUUAAAAUAAUUUCAAAAAUAAAUAAAUUUCUUAGUAUCAAAUACCAUCCUGUGUUCAAAUUUCCCUAAUUAGCCUAUGAGUAUCUUUUAGUAAUUUUUUUAAUUUAUUUGACAGAGUUAGACAGUGAGAGAGACAGAAAGGUCUUCCUUCCAUUGGUUCACCCCCUAAAUGGCUGCCAUGGCUGGCGCUGCGCCGAUCCGAAGCCAGGAGCCAGGAGCUUCCUCCCAGUCUCCCAUGCGGGUGCAGGGCCCAAGCACUUGGGCCAACUUCCACUGCCUUCCCAGGCCACAGCAGAGAGCUGGACUGGAAGAGGAGCAACCAGGACUAGAACCGGCGCCCAUAUGGGAUGCCAGGCCGCAGGCAGAGGAUUAACCAAGUGAGCCAAGGCACCAGCCCCUCGAGUAUCUUUUUAUAAUGAGUAUAUUUGAAUUAGAAUCCAAAUAAGAUAUACCCCCUGCAUUUGGUUGUCUCUUGUCUCUUAAUUCCUGGGGUCUUCAUUUGUAUUGGAAGAUACGGUUUCAUUUGCGUCCUGUUAGCAUCUUGUAGCACAUCCAUUUACUCCUUGUGUUGGGUAUAAACUUACUUGUAGGUCUGGGAGCUUAGAGCCAGAGUUUGUGUUUGAAUAGGAAGGCCUCGUGUGGGAUCCUCUGUGCUGACUGCUGCUGUUCAGAGACAUGCACAGGGAGCCUGGUCAUCUCCCCUCGUGUGAUGUUAGGAUCCUGCCACCCCUGCAGCAGGCGUGGCCUCUCCUUCAGCUUGUGAAAUUCCCUACCCACCUUUGACCUGGUAAUUUUAGCAGCUGUUGCUGACCUCUGUUCCCAGAUUUAUCACACACCUGAAGCCUAACUUUCAGCACCAGGAUACAAAGGCUCUUCAGAAAGUUUGUACAAAAGUGGAAUAAAGGGGCCGGCACUGUGGCACAGCGGGUUAACGCCCUGGCCUGAAGCGCUGGCAUCCCAUAUGGGUGCCGGUUCUAGUCCCAGCUGCUCCUCUUCCAAUCCAGCUCUCUGCUAUGGCCUGAGAAAGCAGUGGAGGAUGUCCCAAGUGCUUGGGCCCCUGCACCCACGUGGGAGACCAAGAAGAAGCUCCUGGCUCCUGGCUUCAGAUCAUCACAGCUCCAGCUGGUGCGGCCAUCUGGGGAGUGAACCAUUGGACAGAAGACCUCUCUCUCUCUCUGCCUCUCCUCUCUGUGUUACUAUGACUUUCAAAUAAAUAAAUAAAUAUUUUUUUUAAAAAAAGUGGAAUAAGGAGAUGUUUAAUUUGGUGAAAUAUUUUUGAAAUCCAUGUCUGAAUUUUUUCCAUAAUACACAUUGUCCAUGAACUUUUUUAAGGCCCCUCAUUUAACUCCAUUUAAAAAAAAAUUCUUUUUUUUUUUUUAAAGUUCAUUAGAAGUUUUAGCCAGAGCUAUUAGGCAAGAAAAGGAAAUCAAAGGGAAACAAAUCAAAAAGGAGAAAAUCAACUUACCCCUGUUGGCAGAUGACGUGAUUCUAUAUAUAGGGGAACUAAAAGACUCCACUGAGAACUUGUAAGAUCAAUCCCAUUUACAAUAGCUACCAAAAUAUUUAAAUAUCUUGGAAUAAAUUUAACCAAGGAGGUGAUUGAUCUCUACAAUGAAAAUUACAAAACAUUAAAGAAAGAAAUAGAAGAAGACACCAAAAAAUGGAAAAACCUUCCAUGUUCAUAGACUGGAAGAAUUAAUAUCAUCAAAAUGUCCAUACUACCGAAAGUAAUUUACAGAUUUAAUGCAAUACCAAUCAAAAUACCAAGAUCAAUGAUAUUCUUCUCAGAUCUAGAAAAAAACAAUGCUAAAAUUCAUAUGGAAGCACAAGACCCCAAAAGCUAAAACAAUCUUAAACAACAAAGCAAUGCCAGAGGCAUCACGGUACCAGAUUUCAAGACAUACUACAGGGAAGUUAUGAUCCAAACAUCCUGGUACUGGCACAGAAAUAGGCAUGUAAACCAAUGGAACAAAUUGAAACCCCAGAAAUCAAUCCAUGAAUCUCAACCAGUCCUGUGACCAAGGAGCUAAAAAUCAACCCCUGGAGAAACAACAACUCUCUUCAAGAAUUGGUGCUGGGAAAAUUGGAUCUCCAUGUGCAGACAUAGGAAACAAGACCCCUACCUUACACCAUACACAAAAGUCCACUCAAAAUGGAUCAAAGACCUAAAUCUAUGACCUGAUACCAUCACAUUACCAGAGGAAAACAUUGAGGAAAUUCUGUAAGACAUUGGCAUAGACAAAGACUUUUUGGAAAAGACCAUAGAAACACAGGCAGCAAAAGCAAAAAUGAAGAAAUGGGAUUACAUCAAGCUAAGAAGCUUCUGCACUGCAAAGGAAACAUUCAGCAAAGUGAAGAGGCAGCCGACAGAAUGGGAGAAAAUAUUUGCAAACUAUGCAACUGAUAAAGGAUUAGCAUCUAGAAUCUAUAAAGAGUUUAAGAAAUGCAACAAGAAAACAAACAAUCCAGUUGAGAAUGGGCAAAGGACUUGAACAGGCAUUUUUCAAAAGAGAAAAUUCAAAUGACCAACAGACAUCAAAAAAUGCUCAGUAUCACCCACGACAUCAGGGAAAUACAAAACAAAACCACAAUGAGGUUUCACCCCAGUUAGAAUGGUUCUCAUACAGAAAUCAACAAACAAUAAAUGUUGGAGAGGAUGUGGGAGAAAAUGGUACUGUUGGUGAGAAUAUAAACUGGUAUGGCCAUUGUGGAAGGCAGUAUGGAAAUACCUCAAAAAUCUGAAUAUAGACUUACCAUGUGACUCAGCCAUCCCGCUCCUGGGAAUGUACCCAAAGGAAAUGAAAUGAAAGAGUUAUCUGUAUCCCCACAUUUAUUGUAGUUCAAUUCACAAUAGCUAAGAUGUGGAAUUAACCCAGAUGCCCAUCAGCUGAUGAUGGGAUAAAGAAAUUGUGGGAUAGAUACAGUGUUGAAUACUGCUCAGCCAUAAAACAAAGAAUGAAAUGCUGUCUCACGCAACAAAAUGGAUGCAAUUGGGAACCAUGCUUAAUGAAGGAAGCCAGUCCCUGGCCGGCGCCACGGCUCACUAGGCUAAUCCUCCACCUUGCGGCGCCAGCACACUGGGUUCUAGUCCCGGUCGGGGCGCCGGAUUCUGUCCCAGUUGCCCCUCUUCCAGGCCAGCUCUCUGCUGUGGCCAGGGAGUGCAGUGGAGGAUGGCCCAGGUGCUUGGGCCCUGAACACCAUGGGAGACCAGGAUAAGUGCCUGACUCCUGUCAUUGGAUCAGCGCGGUGUGCCGGCCGCAGCACGCCGGCCGCAGCGCACCGGCUGCGGCGGCCAUUGGAGGGUGAACCAACGGCAAAGGAAGACCUUUCUCUCUGUCUCUCUUUCUCACUGUCCACUCUGCCUGUCAAAAAAUAAAAAAAAAGAAGCCAGUCCCCAAAAUACAAAUACCAUGUUUUACCUGACCUGUGGUAACUAGUAGAGUACAAAAAAAUUAAUGUAUUUGAGCAAAAUUGACAUUUUGAGAAUUGAUUAUUGUUUACAGCCCUUGUCUCUACUGUUGAGAAACAGUGGGGUUUUUUUUCUUCUUACUAUUUGUUAAAGUUUCUUACUGGCCGGCGCCGCGGCUCAAUAGGCUAAUCCUCUGCCUGCAGCGCUGGCACACUGGGUUCUAGUCCUGGUCGGGGCGCCAGAUUCUGUCCCAGUUGCCCCUCUUUCAGUACAGCUCUCUGCUGUGGCCCGGGAGUGCAGUGGAGAAUGGCCCAAGUCCUUGGGCCCUGCACCCGCAUGGGAGACCAGGAGAGGCACCUGGCUCCUGCCUUCGGAUCAGUGCAGCGCGCCGGCCACGGUGGCCAUUGGAGGGUGAACUAACGGCAAAGGAAGACCUUUCUCUGUCUCUCUCACUGUCCACUCUGCCUGUCAAAAAAAAAAAAAGUUUCUUAUUUAGUGGAAAGUUAAUCUUUUGAUUGUAAAAUAAACUUAAAGUAGAUCAUUGUAAAAAUUAAAGAGGGCUGGCGCCAUGGUUCACUUGUUUAAUCUUCCACCUGCAGCACUGGCAUCCCACAUGGGUGCCGGGUUCGAGUCCUGAUUGUUCCUCUUCCAGUCCAGCUCUCUGCUGUGGCCUGGGAGGGCAGUGGAGGAUGGCCCAAGUGCUUGGGCCCUGCACCCCAUGGGAGACCAGGAGAAGCACCUGGCUCCUGGCUUCAGAUCGGCGCAGCGCUGGCUGUGGUGGCCAUUUGGGGAGUGAACCAACAUUAGGAAAACCUUUCUCUCUGUCUCUCUCUCUCACUGUCUAUAACUCUACUUAUCAAAUAAAUAUUAAAAAAUUGAAAGAAUAAGAAGGAAGGAGGAGGGGUGAUAGGAGUGUGAGAGGGCAGAAGGGUAGGGUGGAAAGUAUCACUGUGCUCCUAAAUCUGUAAAUAUGAAAUACAUGAAAUUUAUAAAAAUUUAAACAAUUCCAGUAGUAAGUACUUAGAAAUGCUGAGGGAUUCUGAUAAAAUAAUCAUUUUUAGUUGAAAGUGAUUGCAUAAUUCAAAAUAUUUUCACCUUUUUUUGCGCAGAAACAUAUACUUUUCAGGAUGCUAACUAGAAAGCUAAAAUCAAUUUUAUGUCUCAAAUAACAAAGACAAGUAUGAGAAACAAUUAGUAAGGAGUUAGCUCAUUUGCUGUCUAAUCUAAAGAUUGAGCUGGAUGUUAUUUCUAAGAGAUUGUCUGUAUUAAAACCACAGGUCACUUUAAAACCUUUGUCUUCCUUAAGAAAACCAAACAAAUGCAGGCAGCUUUAAGUACUCCGUGUUCCUUUGGAAGUCCUGUGAAAAUAAUGGGCGAUUAUCUUUGGGAAGGUCCCUUUAGAUAAAGCGCCCUGCACAGCAGCGGUGUUUUCGUGCCGGCUGCCUCUCUCUCUGUCUGAAUGGAGUUUUACUUGCUGGCGUGUUCCUUUCAUUACACAAAGCUCUGGCUUGCCAGCUGCAUGCAGUGAGUUGUGACCCGAGCACAGUGCUUUGCUGCGAGCUGACCCUCUGAGGGUUGUGGCGUCCACCAGCACCCAAAAGCGUUGGUUUGUCUUGGGAAUUCCUAGCCAAAAGUUUCUUUGGGACUUAGAGUUAAGAGCUUCAGAUUGUGCCUAGGCUCCUGGGUUUUAUAUAUCACUCCGCUUUUUAUGUGGAAUAAUCUUCCUCAGAAUCGUUUCAGGAAACGAGAAAAGUAGGAGAUGGUUAUGAGUCAGCCGUGGAAAACUACAGCAUGGAAGGAAUUAGUCAGCAGGAGGGUUCGGUGGCCAGGCGAGCUGUGUGCUAUCAGGAAGUGGCGUGACUUUCCAUGAUUUUGUGCACUGUAAAUCAUGUGGCAUCAUGCUCCCAGACACCCUUAUUUUCCAAUUAUAAUUCUUCAGAUAAAAUUGACAAGCACCGAUGGAGCAAAAGCACCCAAGGGCUCUGAGGAGUUGCUGCCCCUACUGGAGGGGUCCGUGCUGUUGGCCCCCGGCGCCCGCUCCCUCUGCUGGGCUAGGGUCUUGCAGCGGGAAUUUGCAGGGGCAGCCGGGCCAGGCCUGAGAAGCCCCUAGCCCCAGCAGAGCUGCGGUUGCAGAGGGGAGCUGGCCACCCUUUCUUCGGGUUUCCCACGCUUUCUCUCUUGCCCCGGCCUGGCUGCUGAUAAAGCCACACCAUUGGUGCCCUGGGAGAGGGUGGCUUCAUGCUGUGUCAUCAUGUGCUUCAGAGACAAUCUGAAGACAGGGGUUGUGUUCCUCCUCUACUAUCCAGUUACCAUAAGGACUUGUAGAAAAGGGUGGGUUAGGGACUGGCGCUGUGGCGCAGUGGGUUAAAGCCCUGGCCUGAAGCGGCGGCAUCCCAUAUGAGUGCUGGUUCUAGUCCCGGCUGCUCCUCUUCCAGUCCAGCUCUCUUUUGUGACCUGGGAUAGCCGUGGAAGAUGGUGGCUCGAGUCCUUGGGUGCCUGCACCCAUGUGGGAGACCCAGAGGACGCUCCUGGCUCCUGGCUUCAGAUCGGCACAGCUCCGGCCAUUGCGGCCAUCUGGGGUGUGAACCAGAGGGUGGAAGACCUCUCUCUCUGUCUCUACAUCUCUCUCUGCAACUCUGUCUUUUAAAUAAAUAAACUCAAAAAAAAAAGAAAAAAGAGAAAAAGGGUGGAUUAAAAGUCUGAGUUGGGGUGGUUGUGGUGCUGCGGGUUCAGCCGCCCCUUGAGACACCCCCGUCCCUUAUCGCGGGGCUGGUUUGAACCCCAGCGGUUCCACACUUCCAAUCCAGCAUUCCCGCUGAUGCGUCCCUGGAGGCGGCCAAUGAUGGCUGAAGUGCUGGGACCCCUGCCACUCCUGCAGGAGACCUGGAUGGAGUUGUGGGCUCCUGGCUUUGGCCUGGCUCAGCCCUGGCUGUUGUGGGCAUUUGGGGAGUGACCCAGUGGAUGGAAGAUCUCUCUCUCUCUUUCUCUCUCUCUCUCUCUCUUUCUCUCUCUCUCUCUCUCUCUCUUUCUUUCUCUGUCUGUUGCUCUGCUUUUCUAAUAAAUAAACACUUAAAAAGAAAAACCUGAGCCAUGUGAACUCCAUAAAACUACAUCUUUAGAAGAAAAUACUGAAAAUAUAGCCAAGCACUCAGAUUUAAAGUGUAUGGCUCUAUUGGUAAAGUAAGUCAGUGGAAACCUAACCAAGUUGGCUUCUUCCCUAUCUCUUAUGAUAGGCACAUCAGCCUUUCCGUGGUUGCAGCUUGGUGUAUGUGUGUAAUUUUUGUUUGGGCAAACAAGUCCAAUGGAAUAAUUCAAUCAAUAAGGGUGGGGGAGUAAUUAACAUUCCUGUUGACAUGGAUGGCGUUCCAGUUGACCCUGGUGCCUGUGGCAACCUGGUACACAGUUUCUCUCGAAGAAAGGCUGUGAGCCGGGUUCACCUGCUCCGCUGUUUGUGGCGCUCUGGCAGGCUUCCCACAGAGAAGUAUGAGCCAGAAGCUAACCCCGACAGCCUCAGCGCACGCUCGCGGGGAACCAUGACGCAGCAGUCAGGUGACGAUGAUGGGCGUGUUCCUCCUCCCUCCCUACUUGAGACCCAGGCCGUGUGGAGGCGUCUUGUUAAAGCACAGCUUCUGCUGCAGCGGAUCCAGGUGUGGGAGAACCAGGUUCUGCAUUUCUAGCAAGCUCACAGGUGAUGCCAAUGCUACUGGCUGGGGACGCCUAGCAUCCUUCACCCCAGAGAAGGAACUGAGUCUCUAGUUAGACAGGGGCCAAACCCUGAAGGUCCUCAUGGUGCAUAUGCUUCUUAAAUAUUUAUUUUUAUUUGAAAGAGUGACAGAGAGAAAGAGAGAGAUCUUCCAUCUGCUGGUUCACGGUCCAAAUGGCCACACAACUACCAAGGCUGGGCCAGGCCAAAGCCAGGAACCUGAAACUCCAUCUGGCUCUCUUACAGGGUGGCAGAGGCCCGUAUGCUUGGGCCAUCUUCUGCUGUUUUCCCAGGCACACUAGCAGGGAGCUGGAUCGGAAGAGGAGCAGCUGGGACUUGAACCACCAUUCAUGUGGGAUGCCGGCGUCACAGGCGGCGGCUUAACCUGCUGGGUCACGACACCCACCCCACACAGCCUAAUAUGAACACAGAGCCCUUUGGGGUUCAUGGCCUCAGACUGCCUUACCUUUAAGUCACCUGUCUCACACGUGCACCCGCACAUCUGGGGAGGAGUAGGGACACACUGGUCUCUUCCCACAUCCUACCCUGACCCUCACUGCAGCCUCUGAGCACGGGGCUGUCCAUCCCAAACCCUGCUGGCGCCUCCUCCAGGUCUGCUCCUUCCUUCCUUUCUCCAUUGACACGACUCUUUCCUGUGAGGAAUGUUCCAGAACAUCUGCCUCCAAGUCUUCCUGUGGGACCCACGAGCCCCACGCCACAGUGUCCCUCCUGCGCAGUUCUCCCACGGCCGCUGGCCUUGCUUCCCAGCAGGUGGGGGGAGUGGCAGGGGAGCGUGCACCGAGGUGCAAAGGCCACAGGAGUCUUUGACCAAAAGAAUCCAUCGAGGGCCGGUGCUGUGGCUCACCUGGUUAAUCCUCCACCUGUGAUGCCGGCAUCCCAUAUGGGCACCAGUUCUAGUCCCAGUUGCUCCUCUUCCAGUCCAGCUCUCUGCUGUGGCCCGGGAAGGCAGUGGAGGAUGGCCCAAGUGCUUGGGAUACCUGCACCUGCAUGGGAGAACAGGAGGAAGCACCUGGCUCCUGGCUUCAGAUCGGCGCGGCUCCAGCCAUGACGGCCAUUUGGGGAGUGAACCAACAGAAGGAAGACCUUUCUCUCUGUCUUUCUCUCUCACUGUCUAUAACUUUACCUGUCAAAAAAAAAAAUGAAUCGAGAAAGACUGUUCACCAGGGGGUGUCCAGCAUCCCAGACAACGCCGGCAGUUGCGUUCCAGAGGCAGCAACAGCUGGAGCUCGGGUUCCAGGCGGCCUGAAGGGGUUCAGAGGCCAGCGAGGCAGAGCUGUCGUCAACCUCCUGUGUGCCUUCAUUGGCCCCGUGGAAAUGGGUUAAAUCUUCACUUGCUUCUUUUAGAGCCAUGGGGUUUUCAAAUAAACCAGCAAAUCGACUUCAUGAUUUUAAAACCCUAGGAAAUAGGAUUCAGGGUUUGCCAUUCCUUUUUCCAAGGAGGAGACAAUUAUGGCUGUUUUCUGCGAGGGGCAUUUCUAAGGCUUUCCCAGCGAGCAGCCAGCCAGGAGGCCUCACACAUACCCUUAGGAGAGGAACCACGUGCAGGACCUAGGAGUGAAAAUAGUUAACUACUGGCAGGGAUCCCUGUGCCGUGUUAUCUUGGCGGAAUGGGUGCCUUUAAAAGCCUCGGUGCUGUUUCCCUUGGGCCUUCAGAUAAGAGAGCAAGACGGGGAGGGACGCGUGCCCGCUGACUGCCAAGAACGUGUUCCUCAAAGGCCGGUUAGUGGCUGUCGCAGGUCUGUGUGUGUGUCUGCAGCAGCCUCUGGGACCAUUGCGUCAGCAUCCAUGGAUGAGUGCGUUCCGGCUGCGCACCGGCCAGCAGCAGGCUGCGGAUCCCCUCAGAUGCCUGACGACCCCGGGGCACGCCCUGUGCUCUGCAGGCAGUAGGGUGUGCCCUGCGGGGUGGGCUGGACAUCCCUGUCCGGUCCUCUUCUCCUGAAGAACAGCAAAGUGAACUGCAGCUGGGAACGUGUGCUCCCGCCGAGACCUUAUUCCUGGGGAAGGUGGGCGUGCUCUGUCACCAGGAGUGACGUCAGGGUCCUAGAGGCUGGAAUCCGGGAUCGUGGUGCCAGCAGGGUUGGUUCCUCCCGAGGCGUCACUCCUGGGCGACACCAUCUCACUGUGCCCUCACACGGUCUUCUCUGUCUCACGUCCCUCUGUGCAUCCGAAACUCCUCUUCUUAGAAUGACACCUCCCUAACAGCCUCAUCUUAAUGCCAUCACCCUUGAAGGACCCUGUCCCCAAAUACACAGUCUGAGCCCUUGGAGGUGCAGGCUUGAGGUGGGGGUGGACACUGCAAUUCACCUCCCAGCAGAGUUCACAGAAACCGCUUUGAAAUUGCAACACUGUUUCUCGGACUCAUUACUUUGUGGUUCUCCCACUUCUUUUCGAGAACGGUUCUGUCUUCGUCCUAGUGGGAAGAUGAUAGAUCUGGAAUUUUAUUGUGGGAGCCAGCAGUAACACACUACCAAGAGAAUCCUCCAAAUGGAAUCUGAGGCCACUGGCAAGGAUUUUACACUGGGAGUCGAUGUCUUUAGACACCCAUCCAGAAUGUUCUAUGGAGAACAGAGUGGACCUUUGCCACUAGGGAGCCAGGGCCAUGCUCCUGGCCCCGCCUCACUCUGCCCUACAGGACUUUGGGUGCCUGAAGAUAGUCUGGGGGCCCAGCAGCUGGCAAAGUCAGAGCCUGGCCCAGGGUGCAGGGUGGGUAUUGGACCACACUGGCAGCUGCUCCCCACCUCCCUCCACUGGGACGUGUCAAACAAACACCAGCCACUGGAGCUGCUCACCUCGCCCCAGCCCCCAGCCCCGUCCUCCACUUCUGCGUGCCCCUGGUGUUGCCAGUGGAGUUAAACCUCGUUGGGUUUCGUGGAUAUCGGCAACAAGGCAGGCACUACGCAGCCCUAUUUGGACCUGGACUGGAGGGGUCGCCGACACUUCCCUGGCCGUGAGAGAGCAGUAAUUUUCUAAGGUUCCCUCCCUGCUGACGUUUCGGGUCUUGGGUACUCAGCGCCAACGCUGACUUGGAGCAUUGCAGUGCCUCAUCCGGUGAGCGCGUUCUCAAACCUCAAAGCAGAUUAGAAUAUCACCGAAACCACCACCAGGCUAGAAAACAAACACUGCCGUGCAAGAGGUAAAAAUAUUCAUUACAGGUCACAGCUCGAGCCCUAGCAAGUGCCUGUGGCAGAUUCUACCGUGGCCGUGGCCGUGGCCGCUGUCACCAUGGCCAGUGCCCUGGGACUCUCUUCUUUGAGCCAGGCCUCAAGUGGCCUCAGGGGCCACCAAGAGCAGGAGUCGGAACUUGCUGGCACCCGAGCAAAGCUUCCUUCGUCCUGCAGACCAGAGACAACACAGAGCACGAGUCGCAGGGGAACGGAGGAGGACUUCAGACACGAGCAUUUGGUCGUCGCCCAACGUCUGGCAAGCCACGUCCUGUAGGCCCUUUCCUGAGUAUGUGACCACAAGUCAGUUUGUUGGCAAAGCAGUUUAGCAAAAUCCUCAAACCUACCCGAAUAAGAAACGGGUGUAAAAUUAGCUCCGGGAAGAAAGGCCGGCAUGUCUGUGCAUGGCACGUGGGGCCGUUCUGUGUUCAAGUUCAUAGUGUGGACCAGCAAUACGUAAUAUUCUAAUUACAUGGUACUAAGAAUCUAAAAUUCUUCUGCAGGGUAUUUGACAAUAAACAUUAGUAGACUUAGAGAUACGUGUGUGGAUGUGAAGAACAGCUUUUAAAAUUAUCAAACUUUUGUUCAGUUAAAACAGUAGUCUUGUGACAUUAAGAUAUAUGUCAGUCUUAUCACACAUAAAGGUACUAAAUGGUGUGUAAACUGUGUCUCAGUAUUAGUUAUAUCAAAGCAUGCUAUGCGUAUAUUUCAAAAUUUUUAAUAUUGUUGAGAAUUAAGUUCUAAUUAUAUUUUUUAAAAAGACUUACGUAUUUAUUUGAAAGGCAGAAUUACAGAGAGACAGAGGCAGAGAGAGAAAGAGGUCUUCCAUCCACUGGUUCACUCCCCAAUUGGCCGCAAUGGCCAGAGCUACGCUGAUCUGAAGCCAGGAGCCAGGAGCUUCUUCUGGGUCUCCCACGCAGGUGCAGGGGAACAAGGACUUGGGCCAUCUUCUACUGUUUCCCCGGGCCACAGCAGAGAGCUGGAUCAGAAGUGAAGCAGCCAGGACUCGAACUGGCGUCCAUAUGGGAUGCCGGCACUGCAGGCAGCAGCUUCACCUGCUAUGCCACAGCACCGGCCCCAAGUUCUAAUUAUUUGCUUCCUUAGCAUUUCACAUAACUUUUAUGCCUUCAAGAGCUCCACUUUCCCAGCUUCUUAGUUUAGGAAGUCAGUAAAGAACUUUUGCAAGGACCGGCAUCAUGGCACAGUGGGUUAAUCUGCCACCAGUAAUGCCACUGUCAUCCCAUAUCACAGCACCAGUUCAAGUCCUGGCUGCUCCACUUCCCAUCCUGUUCCCUGUUAAUGUGCCUGGGUUCCUGCCAUCCACAUGGGAGACCUGGAUGGAGUUCCAGGAUCCUGGCUUUGGCCUGACCCAGCCCUGACCAUUAUGGCCAUUUGAGGAGUAAACCAGCUAAUGGGAGAUUGAUCUUUCUCUCUCUCUCUCUCUCUCUCUCUCUCUCUCUCUCUCUCUCUCAGUCUGCCUUUCAAACAAGUCAGAGGUAUGCCAUCUUAUUAGAAGAACUGAUCAAAUUAUUGAUGUAAGUUAAUCUCAAAGUCCUUAGUCAUCAGUUCAUAUUUGUCCAGGUAAAACAAUCUCAUCCGUAGCUGUGAAAGCAGAAGCUAUACUGUAAUGAAGACACGCUGGAAGUCUUAAUUUGGUGCUUCUCAAAACGGGUUAAAAUGCAGUUCUUAAGAAGAUGAGCUUAGAAUCAUAGAUUUGGUUCAAAGUCCUGGCUCCAGAGCUGGGUGAUGGUGGAUGUUUUGAGUCAGCUUGGACUUACAUAACAAAGUACCGUAGACUGGUUUCCAGGAUAACCAUUUAUUUCCCACUGUGCGGCAGCGGGGCGCCAGCAUGGUUAGUUCCUGGUGGGGGCUCUCUUCCAGGCCUGCAGGUGGCUGCCUUCUUGCUGUGUGCCCACAUGCCUGAGGGAGAGAAAUCAAGUUCUUAUCUCACACGGGCAUUCAUCCAUCCCACCAGGAGGACCCUGCCCUUUCGACCUCCCCAGCCCUAAGCAUCUCCCAAAGACCCCAUCUCCAAGCACCGUCUGUCUCAGUCCAUCUUCUGUUGCUUUGACAAAGGCCCUGAGUCUGAUUGCUUCAUAAAGAAGAGGGGUUUAUCUGGCUCACUGCUCUGGGGGCUGGGAAGCCCAAGAGCACAGCACGUGCAUCUGGUGAGGGCCUCCUAGCUGCGCUUUGACUCGGUGGGGGUAUCCCACGGCGACAGGGAAGAGGUACGCCAACUCGGGUCUCUCUUCCUCUUCUUACAAAGCGGCUGAUGGCAUCCUGGGGCCCCACCUGCAUGGCCUCAUCUAAUCAGGACUCCCCACCCCCAGAGGCCCUCCCUCCAUACACUGCAAACGCAUGAGUCCCUGGGGACACAUCCAAAACAUAGGACCACCACAUCUGGAGCCAGGGCUCCAGCACAGGGUACUGGGGGAGCAGAGCUUAGUCCACAGCAGGGGGCAAGGUGCUUAAGCAUCUUCAUGACUGCCUCCCUCCCCCCGCCCCCGGUCAGGACUGUGGUUUGUUUUUGUUUGCUUCCCGGAUUCUGCACCUCUUAGGCUGUAUUCCCAUUUGUGGCAGGGAGCAGGUGCAGCAGAGGAAAGUGGAUGACAGGAGCAGGUGCUAUGGAAAGAGCUGUCGGCUCAAGGAGGACCUGGCUGCCAGAUAGGACACAGAAAUGUGCUGUCCUCACACAUGGACGUGGGUCCCCACGGCUGGGCUCGGGCACCGGGGGCACCGCGUGAUGGGAGCCCCAGCCCUCCCCCAGUUCCUCACCCAGUUCCUCAGCUGUCUGGCUGUGAUGGCAACAGAGGCUGCAGCCUCCUGAGACUUUGUCUGUGGCCCUUUGUCCUCCCUAGAAGAAGACCACCCGCAGUACUCACUGUGUAGUGCUGAGUCCAGCUCCAGCAGGUCCCAGGGUUCCUGAAGGUGUGGGAGGUGUUGGCACAGGAAGAAAUGAGAGACACACUCACAGCAAGCUGAUGGCGUGGCUCAAGCACCAGACUUUAUUUUUGUAUCAUGUCACAUAAUGAUGCUUUCUACUUACAAUAACAAGUCUGUUGUCCAUUUUCAUCUACUUAAAAUUUCCUUGAUUUUCAAGGACAUUUUCAGAGCAUGGGUCACAAUCAUAGGUAUGAGACAACGAUUUUCAAAGGCAUGCUCAAAGCAUUAGUUACUGUCACCGACAGGUGCGAGACAACGGGCUGCCCACACAAGCCAAGGUCAGGAGUGCUGUUGAGCUAGAGUACCACCUUCCUAAUCUAAUCUUUACUAGAAGCCCAAUGUUCAAAGCAGGCCCUUUUCUAAAUGCUUCCCCUCUUCUGCAGUUCUUUCUGUAACUCUUUCAUUUCUUUAUUGUACUUACCUAAAGGUUCACUAGGUCUAUUCCACAGUUCUGACAUCCUAACCAUUGUUGUAUUUGUAGCACAUACUGAAUUAAAGCUGUAAUAACAUUUAUCUUUAUUCUAGUGGGACGUAUGUACCAGGGAGCCCGUUGCCUUUUAAUUCUUUCCCACAAACGGCUCAACCUUGUGUGAAGCAUUAACCCCUUCUCCUACAUAACAUUCUGCCUGAUGAAAACUCUACAAAGCAAUGGACGUCUUGGGGGUUAUGAGACUAAGCGCUUUUCCCUGAAAUUAGUGGGGCCACCAGGAAGCUCCGGCUUUCUUACGCAGAGUGUAGUUCCCAGCAAACCGAAAACCACCACGAGGACCGCAGCUGUCUUUCUCAGCCUUGCUGAGACAGACCUUCCACUGGGACCUUGUCAGCCAGCCCAAGUUGCCUCAACCUCGCCAGUGUAGACCCUUCCAAAUAGAGACCCCCAAGUAGGGCUCAGGGCAGUGUUUAUUGAAGUGGUAUGUCCCUGUCAUCCAGAAAGUCAUUUUUAAUAAGUCAUGCACUCAUGACUAAUCAUUUUCUCCACUUUUUAUUUUCCGAAUAGGACACAGAAAUGCGCCAAGCUAUUUAUCCCUUUCCUGUUUCCCCUGUUAAUGGGAAAAAACCUGCCAUCUUUCCAUGUCUACAAUGGAACUGAACAUUUCUUGUGAAACACACAUCUCAGGGAAAAACCCAUCGCCGACCUGCUUCCUCUUAUUCUUGAGUCCCUGGAGCAGUGGCUGCUGUUUGUGCCUUCUGACUUCUACUUCCCGAGUUGGAGAGUUACGUCUGUUCUCUCAGUAGUACAAGGGUGCUUUAGAAAGUCUGGGAAAACGGAGUUAAGACGUGCAUUUCUGGAACUGGCCUUGCGGCAUAAUGGGUAGAGCCUGUAAUGCCAGCAUCCCGUACGGGCACCAGUUCGUGUCCUGGCUGCUCCACUUCUGAUUGAGCUGCCUGCUAAAGGCCCCUGCACCCACGUAGGAGACCUAGGGGAAGCCUCUGGCUCCCGGCUUCACCAUGGCCCAGGCCUGGCCAUUGCAGCAGCUUCUAGGGGAGUAAACCAGCAGAUGGACGAUUUCUCUCUCUCUCUCUCUCUCAAACAAAUAAAUGUUUUUAAAAUGUACAUUUCUUUUGGUGCAAAAAAAAAAAAAUCCACUCCUGCCUUUUUGAUACUUAGCUUUGGAAGACCCCUUGCAUCUGAGGGUGCAUUGCCGGUGUGCAGACUGCAGUGUGGCUGGCAAGCCAUCUGUGUCCUCACCCCCACUGCGUGUGCACAUCUCUAUCCUCCUCUCAACCUAAGGGCCAAGGGCAGCAAGGACUAACACCAAUGCACACAGCUGCAGAAUAGCAGGUGUAGCUCACAUGGGGCCAGAAAGGGGCCCCGAGUCGCCGUCCUGGUGCAGGGCCGAUAUGGUGUCCGCAAAAUGUCCAGUGGUCAGUCUGAUCCCAACACCUUUUUAAACGUGAUGAAGGAGGCAGAGGGUCCUGGGAAUGUACAGUUUGUACAGUCGUCCCUCCGUAUCCAUGGUGAUUGGUUCCAGGAACCCCCAAGGAUACUAGAAUCCACAGGUGCUCAAGCCCCUCAUGUGCAGCGGUGUAGAACUUGCACAGUCUCCGUCAUCCUUUUGUGCACCUGGAGUCAUCCCUGCAUGGCCCACACUACCCUCUCGCAAUGUCAAUAGCUAUUAGGUUGUGUUUUUAGGGGAACUGACAAGAAACAGGCAUGCUCUGUGCAGCUGCAGGCACCUCCGACCCGUAGUUGGCCGAGUGUGGAAGCCGCGGACCCAGAGGGCCGAGUGCAUGGCGCCAGUGGCUGCCGCCCUCCCAGCGUGGUAGCCUGUGCAGCCGCCACGCCGGGAAGUUCACUGCCCACUCCAGCUGUGCUGCAGCUGGACCGUGCCACCCACUCACCUGCAGGGCUUGCGGCAGCACAGUUUCUGGUGCAGUGAGUGCAGGUGUGUUUCCUGUUGCCGUGUCGUAAAUUACCACGCAUCCAGUGGCUCACGGCCGCUCCAGUUUCCCAGCUGGCAGAGCUGGCAGUCAGGAGCCUGGCGUGCUUGGCUGGGCUCGGGCUCUGCAGGGCUGGGCCAGGUUCCCGUCUGCAGGCUUGGGAGCAGGCUGCACUUCCAAGUGUGUUCAGAUCCCAGCGUCCAGCUCCCGGAGCCACCGUGUUCCUUGCCAUGCAGCCCCCCCAACUUGAUGGCCAGCAACAGAGAGCACCUCCCAUGGGUCUCUGCUCAGGGCCCAGCCAGCCUGAGCCGGGAGUAGAGUCCACGCUGGUCAGACCCCAGCAGGGGAUGCAGCCGGUUCACCCAGGGGUAGGCCUCGGGGCUGCUUUGCAAUCCCGCCCAGCACAGCAGGUGGUGGGUGAGUUGUGUGUUCCGCUCAUUUCCCAGGUAAGGCUGCUGUGGGGACCAGGGGCUGAGAAGGACCCUCCUCUGCUCGUUCUACACACUGAACAAUCAGAUGAUUCCCAAUUCACAGAUGAGGACACUGAGGCCCAGAGUGUUUAGUAUUCAAGAAGUGUAACGGCCAGUACAGCUCAGGCACUGGGCAGUGAGAAUGGAUCUCAAGCCAAUAGGACAGAUUCUGGCUAUACAGAACCACAGGGCCACCCUGGCCAGCACAGUGUGGCAGGACCCCCAGCAGACAAGGGCAGCAGCCAUUGCUUGUGCCCACAUCCCCCUGACACCUGGCCCCGGGUUCUGGAUACCCCGCGUGCCCACUCUGAAGAGGGAAAUGUCAUCCCCACCACGGCUGCUUCAGGAGACAACAAAAUCAAGAGACCGCAGUCUGUUGACACCCAAACCCGUCUUUCGGACCUUCGAUCUGCUGACACUGUAGGACGCUCCUUUCUCAAGGCUGAAGUCGACCCGUGCUGAUUUCCUCUGGCUGAAGCGUCACGCUCCGCCCAAAGACAACACGGGCUUUUUACCGUUUUGUCCCGGAGGUCAGAAGGCUGUGAGACCUGGUGAGGCCAAAUCCAGGCAUCAGCCAGGCUGGCUCCUCCGCACCCCUGCCUUUCCCGAGACUGCAGAGGCAUCUGGGCUCUUUGGCCCACGGCCCUGCCCCACUGCGACUCUGCUUCCCUCACUCCCUGCCCCUCGCUCUCUCUGACCCUCCUGCCUUCCCCACGUGCACACUCUGCAAGAGGAUCCAUCGCCACCCCGGCUCCGGAAGCUUAGCGUGUUCACACCCGCGGGGCCCUUUGCCACGUGUGGUGCCGCCUUCCCAGGUUCCGAGGGCUACAGACUGCUCUCGCUUCAGGGGAGGGGGCGUGAUUCAGCCCCCACACGCCCCCAGCCUGAGCCCCACCUUGCUGCAGAUCUAACAGCCAGCACUUGAGUAGGACUCCCUGGGUGCUAAGUCCUAGGUAGACCUGAGUUAGUGAGUGCUACAGCCAGUGUGCGUCUAGACUGUGUGGUGUGGUGCCCCUUCUUCUUCUUUUUUUUUUUUUUUUUUAUUGUUAAGAUUUAUUUGAAAAACAGAGUUACAGAGAGAGAGAAAGACAAAGAGAGAGAUCUUCCAUCUGCUGGUUCACUCCCCAAAUGGCUGCAACAGAGGCCAGAGCUGGGAGCUUCAUCUGGUCUCCCACGUGGGUGCAGGCACUCAAACACAUAGGCCAUCCCUCUGCUGCUUUCCCAGGCACAUUCCCAGGGAGUUGGAUCGGAAGUGAAGCAGCAGGGACUCGAACCAGCGCCCAUACAGCAUGCUGGUGGUGUUGCAGGCGGCUGCUUAACCGGCUGUGCCACAACACUGGCCCCCGUGGUGUCCCUUCAAAUGCAGAUACAAACCUGGAGCCCAGAGGAGUUGAGAGCCUUCAUCCAAGGUCACAGCUAAGAAGUGAGGACAUCAUCAGGGUCCACACCCAGUUAGUGUGGCUCCAGUGAUGCUGCGACCGCCCUGCGUAUGCCCCUCACACAUGUACGGACCAUGGUGUAGUAUGACACAGAGCCAGACCCGCCCUCACCGCCACCCCGACCCCUAACCUGCCCUUCCCCUCCCGCCCAGCGCCCCUGAGAAAGACCCUGCUCUCCUUGACUUGCUUUCCGAAUCUAAGUCCACACAACCCUUGCCACGUCCGCCCAGCUUGGAGAUAGCCCUCCGGUUACUGCUGUUGCGAAGGCAGCCACCCCAAGCUCGGCGGCUUCACGCGGCAGUGGGCAGUCUUGGCAGAGACGGUCCUCCUCUCCUCUGCGCAUCCUCUGCUGUGUUUGCUCGGCUGGGGUCCAGGCCACCACUCUCAAGAUGCCCCAGUCAGAGCUGGCAAGGGGUGCCGACUCGCAGGCGGGAGCUCUGCCCGGGCUUUGGGCCAGGGGCUUCAGUUCCAGUCCACGCGGGCCUCUCCCUGGGCUGCUUAGGCUUCCUGACAGCGUGGUCACUGGAUCCCAGGGAUCCCAAGAGGGAGGGCCCUGAGGAUCCAGGUAGGAGCGCAUGCGUCGUUUUGGCCUCACCCUGGAGGGCACGUGGUGUCUAUUUCUAUUUUUAUAUUUUUUUUAUAUUUUACCAUAUAGCACAGGUUGAGGCACUCACAAAGGGCGCUCAGCCUCUCGAUGGGGCAAUGGCGGGGUCCUACCUACCAGCAUAGAGACAGGACACUGUUGCAGCCGUCCUCUGAAAAUGCCUUCAUCCCAGCUCCCCGCAGCGGCCAUACCACACAGCGGCCUCCCUGCCCCUCACCUCCCCGGCCAAGGACACAUUGCUCUUCAAGCCUCCCAGGUUUGUCCAGGCCUGGGCGUGUGGCACCACAGUUCAGUCACCUCUUGGGAUGCCCACAUCGCGUAUCAGAGUGCCUGGGUCAAGUCCCAGCUUCACUUCCAGUCCCGCUUCCUGCUAACGCAGGAGGCAGGGGACAGUGGCUUAGCCACCGUGGAAGGCCCAGAUUGAGUUCCAGACUGCUGGCCUGGGCCUGACUUAGCCCUGGCUGUUGCAGUCCUUUGGGGAGUAAGGCAGCAAAUGGAAGAUUCUUUCUCUCCUCAAUCUCUCUCUCUCUCUCUCUCUCUCUCUCUGCCUUUUAAAUAAACAUUGUCUACUAUAUUAAUUUGCAUAUUUUGAUGUUCUUACUUUGCAAGAGUCGUUUUUGUUUUAAAAAGAAGGUAUGAAGGUAAGAUUUCCCAAGAAAUCCACAUCAGUUAGCAGAUACUAGCUCUCGGCUAGCUAGCUAUACUAGCUCGCAAUAAAAGCAACCAAAGGAAUUUGUUUAAAAUGAAUAAUGUGAAUCAAAGCAGCUUUAUACGAGUUGAUAAAGACAAUGUUGACGAUCUUGAUUUGGUUUUUUUUGCAAGCAGGAAUGAGGAAAUGCGGGGAUUUAUUCUUUUCUCACUCCUUUGAUCCCUAACCCUGUUCCCAAGUCCUUUAUCCACAGGACUUUGUGUUGAGGUGGGGUCGUGCCUUACUAGACCAGCCCAGGCUGAUGACACGGCCACCUCCUGUGUUCUGAGACGAGAGUGCAGCACACACACAGAGCACUUGCGUCAUCUUGUCACCCAGGCUGCGGCCUUGUCUGCCAGGUAUCAGUGUGGAACCCCUGUAGGGCCAGGAGCUGUGUCCUAGGCUUUGGGGCCCCCAGCAGAGCACAGAGCACAGCACUGAACACCUGGCAGGGCUUAGUGCACAGUUCAUGACCACGUUGACCGUGAGCGUCUUGAAAGAUGGCCGUACCUUCCUCCUUAUCUCCAGUGAAGAGCCCAGGACUUAGCUGCACACAUUGGUUCCACAAAUGUUUAUGGAGGCUGUUAAGUGUUCCAGGGCCCAGGGCUUGGCCUGCCCUUAUUGUAGUUUAGGAAAGCAAUUCAAAUGCAGUAAAUCCUAGGACACAGGGUUCCUGGUGUUAGGAGCCUAUGACCCAGCCAUGGCUCCAAGAAGACACAUGGCAGGUCCUUAAUAAAUGGUGGUUGAAUGAAUGGACAAAUCCAUUAUUUUCCUUUAGACUUGGGAAGUCGGCUGUUAACCCUGAACAGCCCAUACAAGGAUCUUCCGUGUGGGUGCUUGAAAAAUAGACAUUUCAUCCCUAGGGAGGCAGCACCCAGGUCCAGAAGAGCCCACCUGCCCAGGGAAUUUUCUCCUGUAACUGACCUACAGCCUGGAAUGUUUCCCUUAGCGAUGCAUUCCUCUGGGGGUUGAGACUUUGAUCUCCAGAAUUUGUUGAUUAAAUACAAACUCUGUUGUGUUUAGCCUACACUGAACAGCUAUCAUUAACGCCAUAACGGGACAAAGUCUCCUGGGUAACCUUGCAUCACGUUAGCAGAGAGAUUCAGAGGAAGGGGCUGUCCAGGGAGAAAGUAGAAGGCUGGGGUGUGAACUGGGACAGAGAGAAUGAAGACAACUCUGCAGACGAGCAAGGAGCAGGUGUGGGGACGACACAUACCCCCGUGUGGCAGCGACAGGAGAGAGUUCAGUGGUUCUGCACAGAGGGCAUCGCAUCUGCAGUACCUGUCGGCAGAUUUGGGGUAUCGCUCUUGUGCUGGCCACGCUAGGGCCUGCGGAAGGUAGAAGCUCUGCUCACACUGAUGCAGAGCGUGGCGCAGUCCCUCAGGGCACAGAGCAGGCACACUCCCCUGACUGUCCCCGGUGCCCCAACGGCUCGACUGACUGUAGUGAGAAUGGCUCACCCAACACAGCUGCUUCAUCAGCUAUUUCACUAGAGAACAACAGUUGGCCAGAGAGAUUGUCAAAGAAAAGCAAGGGGCUGGUGCUGUGGCGUAGCGGGUAAAGCCGCCGUCUGCUGUCCCAGCAUCCCAUAUAGGCGCCAGUUUGAGUCCUGGCUGCUCCACUUCUGAUCCAGCUCUCUGCUAUGGCCUGGGAAAGCAGUGGAGGAUGACCCAAGUCCUUGGGCCCCUGCACCUGUGUGGGAGACCUGGAAGAAGCUCCUGGCUCCUGGCUCCUGGCUUUGGAUUGGCCCAGCUGCAGCCAUUGUGGCCCUUUGGGGGAGUGAACCAGCAGAUAGAAGAUUCUCUCUCUCUCUCUGUCUGUGUCUCUGUCUCUCUCUCUGCCUCUCCUCUCUCUGUGUAACUCUGACUCUCAAAUAAAUAAAUCUUUUAAAGGAAAAACAAAAUCAAAAUAUUUUCUGGUGAAACCUCUGUAUUUAAAAAUAUUUGGGUAAGAAAGGGGCUCUUUCAGCAGCAUGCCAUCCACACAGUAAUGGAGUAAAAAUACCUGCUUUGGGGACUGUGUUUAACAAAUAUAGAGUAAACAAAGGCCGUGAUUCCAAAACACUAUUCGAAACAAAGGGGAGGGCAGAUUCUCCUCUCUGGCUAACCUUCAACCUCACACAGUAUGUCUGUUAACCACGGUUCCCUUGACCUUUGAAAUACCACCUCUGAUGGGGGGCAGGGAGAAAGGAAAGUCAGUUUUCAUUACCAAAGAAGUAAAUGUUCAGCCAUCGUGAGAAUUCCCGUAAAUCCAAAUGAGCAAAAAUGGGAAAGACUGCAACUUUCUCAACACCCAUUCUUUCUUCUUACCAAAAUGGAAUGAGAACAGGAAGCUCCGGGGAUAGGCAUUUGGCACCGUGGUGAAGGCACUGCUUGGAACGCCCACAUCGCAUAUCAGAGUGCCAAGUUCAAGUCCCAGCUCUGCUUUCCACGCCAGCCUCCUGCAAGUGCACAUUCUGGGAGACACCAGGUGAUGGCUCAAGUGCUUGGUGGGGGGAGGGUGGAAGGUCUCUGUCUAUCUCUCUGCCUCUCUGCCUUUCAAAUUAAAUGAAAAUAAAAAAAUAGAAAAAUGUUAGAAGCUAAACAUUACUGUGUAACCUUUUUUUUUCUCUGUGCAGUCUUAAACAUGUUUUCAUAUCAUUAGCUUUUACCCUUUUCUCGUGAGUAGCUCUGUAGUCGAAUGAGUGGAUUUAGCAUAGUUAUCACCUGGACAUUGACGGGCUACUUCGUGUGCAUAGCAGCCUUGAGGGAACACGCGUGCAGGCUAAACCUUAGCCCAUAGCCAUGAGGAUUUCUGUAGAACAAAUUCCUGGCCAUGAACCUGUUGGGUUUUGGUUGAUGUGAUGCGUCCUGGGGGCUUAGACUGUGGGUUUUACUGCUAGUUUUUCCCGUGUUCCUUUUGACGGGCUGGUGACCGCAGGUGGAAAUGGCCGUGUGUUCGCGACACCCAGCCCAGGAGCAGGCGUGCUGCUGCUGAGAGAGGUUUCAGACGAUUGUCCUAGGGUUCGGGUCUUGGGAGCCUCCUCGUGGCUUGCACUUGGGUCUUGUUGCUUGGCUGGUGGGCUGCUGUGGUAGCCGCUGCGAUGCGUCUCGGGCCCCUUCAGGGAUAAAGGGCUUGUCCCCUGGCUGCCAAGCUGAUGACUCGGCCAAGGGCACCCACCCCACCCAGGUCCUGUGCCCUUCCCAACAUCACCCCUUCCCCACAACUGGCCAGGGUGGAGAGUUGGGACCCAGCCAGGGUCACCCCCCACACUGCAGGUGCCCCACAGGGACAAAGCUUCCACAGGGACCAGGGUGCAGCUGCACGCUCCCUCUCCGGACUGCUCCCCGCCCCCACUUCAUCUCCAGCACAGGUGCUCUGACAGCUGGGUGGGGGCUGGUUGGUUGGGAGUGGACAUCCUUGAUCGCUGAAUAAGUCAGGUAAUUGCAACCCUGCAGGGGCAGCAAGGGCCACCGUGCCCGCCCUCAGUGGGUGGCUCAGGCUCAAAGGGGGAGGGGCUCUUAAAUGGGUGGAGUUAGACCCACUCUUCCUAACAGACACAACUCAGUGGGAAGAUGGGUCAGACCGUAUCCUAGAUUUUCCCAAGAGCAGCUUCAAAUGCUAUCUUCUCAAAAUAAUGUCUUUAAAAAAAAAAUGACCUUACAGAGCUCACUUUGAAUACACCUGGAUCUCUUGCUGUGUCUUCUGCUGCUGGCUGUGACAGAAGCUUCCUGGCUGCACUAACGGCAGGCAAAUUCUGCAGGAAUCUCUAAUACCAUGGUUUGGAUUCUCGGCCGUACGGUCCACCACCGUCCUGUGCUGGCCCAGUGGUUCCUUACGGAUGACCGCUCCAGAAACCAGCUAUGGCGUACACGCGUUUAAACAGAAUCAGGGUCGUCCCUGUACCUGCGUUUCACCAUUGCCUGGCACUUUCGGCGUCAUUUCCGGAGUGGGAGAGAAUGUCUCACCAAUGCCCGGGGAGCCGCCCACUGGAAGCACAUUGCCCCAUCUUGGGCCAGGCAGAAAUGUCCACCCGGGGCUGCCGCGUGAGGAGUGAGGGACGCGUGCUCCGGAUGGAGAAGUUGUCGGGUGUGGAGCAGCGUGACCCUCGGGAUGGGUCAGCCGCCCCGCCUGCACCCCGGCACCUGGCAGGGGACUAAGCUCUCUUUGACGGAUCACUGAAUUUGAGUAAGAGGCUGAAAACCCAAACAGCUCUGGGGUUUGGUCAGCCAGGGAAGGGCCAGUUGGAGACCAUGGGGGUCGCUGGUGUUUGGGAAACACACAUUUCCCCAGGGGACGCCUGCACGGAGCUCAGCGUGGCCACAGCUUCCUUUCUUUCUUUCUCUCCCUGCAAAAGUCAGAAAUCCUCCUUCUGAAGAAAAUGUUCCAGUGUUUAAAUAUUGACAACUGACUGUUCUACAGUCGAGACGGCGAACCAACCGGGUCGUCCCCGGCCUGGGGCAUGGGCCUGGAGCAGGGUACACACUUUGCGGGGCUGAUGUCUGAGCCGUGGCGGGGUCACGUGUGCUCUGUGUGUAUUGUGUCUCAGGCAGGUGUUGGAGUCACACAGGUCUGAUUUCCUCGUGUGACUUUCCUGACUGACCCCGCCAUCAGCCGUGGAUGCAGUGCCAAGUGUGGGAAGCAAGGGCCUGGUUCGUGACUCUCGGCUGGAAACAGGGCGUAGGGUGGGGAAUGGAAAUAGGAGGUAAGAGCACAGGACCCACCUCACGCUGCACUUGGCAAAACAAAACAACAACAACAACAAACCAAACCAUUUCUAGGCUGACUCCUGGAUUUGAAAACCGGCUGUGGAUACACACUGGGCUUAGGAGAGUCACUGAGGACUGUGUUAAAGACCUAGAGAUUUUAGCCACUACUGUCCUUGUGCCCUCCCUCCCUGACCGUGUCGCCUUUGAUCUUCUGCCUAAGUUGAGCCAGUCGCUUGCCAGGUAUGGGUGUGCUGUUUGUGUUUGUCCCCAGCCCAGGGCAGGGCCAGGCCACUGGAAGAAGCUUCCAGAAUGAGCCCCUGGGCUCCCAGGCAAGGGCGUGGUUGGCGGUUCUUCCCAGAGUGAGGAGGAACAAGGCUCUCCCUUGGGCUGCCCUGCUCAGAAGCAGGACUCGGGCUUUGAGUGCGAAGGGGCAGGUUCCGGCGCCGGAAUAAACCAGCCGUGGGGACUGCAAUCCACAGCCCACUGUAUUGCACAGCCCACUCCUGGGGCGAUGCUUGCCCGGGUUCUUGUCUCUGCAGAUCUGCUCCCCUGGCUGGGCACGGCAUCAAAGCCAAGGUCACAAUCAGUGAUUAAACAAGGUGGGUGUGGAGAGGAACAGACCAGAAGGAGCGAGGAAGGGGUGACUAAUGAGGCGGCCGCGGCCCCAGUCGUCUCUGAACAAAGCGCCACCUCCCUUAAUCCCGUCUGCUGGUCUCCAGGUCGCUGCACGUCGCCCUGAGUCGCCCCUGGCUGUUUUCUUCAUCUUAAACUUUGCACGCAGUGUGUUUCCAAGCAGUUGCAGCCGGGCAGUUAACCUUUAUGUACUGAGGAAAGAUUGAAGUAAUAAGGAAACGGGAGUUAACAGGCGGCUGCGCACACAUGGAAUUCGCAAACAAGACGGAAUCUGCCAUGAACUGUGACCUCCAGCUCUGGAGUACUUGUCGGAGUGCAUCGCCCUGCUCUGAGAUGGUGCCUUCCGCCUUGUCUGUCUGUCUGUCUGUCUGCCUGCCUUCCUCUCUCUGUUUUCCUCUUGGAUGAUUACGACUUUCCUUUAUUUACGCCCUAAGCGCACAGACCACAAUGGCAGGCGGUUAGCGCGCUGGCCUUGACCGCCGUGAGUUUGCCUCGCCGGUGCCUCCACUGUUGGUGGCGCUGGCACACGGUGGCCAUUCGUAUCUUUUUAUCGGAGGAAUUGGAAAUCCUGAAUCAGCCAGAGACGCGCGUUAUCUGCAGGCAACUCUUGCCCUGAUUCGUGCAGAGAGCCAGGCUUCUCCGUAGCUUCCAAAGUCUCAAAAAUGCGCCAGGCCGAAGUCUGUUAUUAAUCUCACUUCUUGGUAACCAACUCUGUUUUCCUACGGAAGACGGGUGCUUAUUCAACUGAAAAGAGAUUUUCUUAGAGGAUGAGUUUCUUACUGCAGCUGGGUGGGGGGGGGUCCUCAGCGGUCCUUCUCCACGGUUGGAGACCUGCGCCCCUCUUGUUGCCCCAGGGCAUUGUGGGUAGGGCCUCCCAUCAGGGGAAAAACCAACUAUCUACAUUGCUUUCCACUUUCCCUAUGGCCAAGCACAUUUUACCUGUAAUAAAACAACACUGAGAGCAAUAAAUUCCUGAGGCCGAAUCUGAUUUCCAA
Oryctolagus cuniculus (rabbit) is the source of this 63719-nucleotide non-coding RNA. Lineage: Eukaryota; Metazoa; Chordata; Mammalia; Lagomorpha; Leporidae. The record is from RefSeq and is a predicted model, not a curated record.